UCUGUCAGCUUGAGUGAAUCUUUUCGAUCCUCCCCUGGACCCAGUCCAUCUGGGAUCGAGGCUAGCCCUAUCCGACUCCGAGCCUCAUCCUCAUCUGGCAGUGCAGCCACCAGUUUUUCAUGUAUGAAGUCUGAGUUAACAAAGGUGACCUUGAUCCCGUGAUCAGAAAUCUGGUACGCAAACUUCAUAAAGGGAGUAACAUGUCCUUGUGCUGGGAAUGGAAUAAUCAGCACAUGAGGUCGGCCCAUGGUUGCUGCCAGCACUUCUGCUUCCUCUGAUCCCAAGUUUCAGGAUUAAUACUGCUUCUCUUUAUUAGCCUGAGCCCUCUAUUGUGUGAAUCGUAUACCUAUUUGCUAAAAUUUUAGCUGCAGCCCAUCUCCUAUUUAUGAGUUCCAUACGUCAUCUGAAAGAUAUGGUGUUGUGGCUCAAGUUCUUUGUCACUUUGGUUUUAUCUUCUAUCUAUUUUGUCUUGAUGAAGCAUCUUGUGUGGCUCUCCCGUCACUUUGGUGUAGCUUUGAACCUAUAUUGCACUGAUAAACUUUUGGUUUCUGCAUUACAAACUCCAUAUAUGCAAUAAACUUUUUGUUGGUGCAGUCAUUGGAUUGUAGCCAUUUUUCCUACUUGGUUUUUCCACCAAGUUGCUGAUACCCUAUGGAUUUAUUCUCAAGAGCUGCAAGGUAUAUUACGAGGAAGUUAUCAUCGGUUGUUUACUUUGUCUUUAACCUACAACCUCUUAUGUAUCUAGCCUCAUUUUGUUGUUGCAUGAAUGGUUUGAGCUCUUUGUUCAUAUCCCAUGCAUGUAUUUGUUAAACAAGCUUGUAUUGAUGUUGAGCCUGAUUGAUGCUAGAUUUGGACAAUGAAGGGAAAUGAAAAUUUGGACAUGCAAUGGCUAGAUUUCACCUUAAUAGUAUUCAAUUAAUGCUUCUAUAUAAACAGUACUCCAAAUGCUUUAGCAUAUAUUCUUGGGAAGUCAUCUCUAGUUUACUUUGUUCUUUAUGUAGGGCCUUAUGCAGCUAGUCUCUUUUUCUAGUUGCAUAUAUGGUUUUGAGCUCUUGGUUCCUUUCCCUUGUAUUGAUUUUUUUUUCUCUAUCUUAUACCUUCGAAUGAUCCCGUUUUCCUCUUAGUUCAGCCCUGCAUGCACCCACCUUUGUAAAUCACAGAUAUGGAAGUGGUCGCCAAAGUAAGGACAGACCUUCAUCAUUGAGUUUCCAAGCAGAGUGGAUUAAGAAACCAGCAAGGACAAACCCUUGGCAUUGAUUCACUCAGCCGGUGGCAGAGACAAGAAUUUUUCUAACUAGAACAGAAGCAUUACAAUAACCCUGGAUGAAUUUUAGAAAUUGGUGAAAACGAGUAAUUUUAGACUUUAGUUAUCAAUAAAUAUAAUAUAUCAAAUUAAAAAUUGAUUUUAGGAUCUUACCAAUUAAAAAUUGAAACUAAAAAGGAAAUUUUUCAAAAAAGUUAAAAAAUGGUAAUAAGAUACAAAAUGUUAUUAUUUUUUUUUCUCAAUAAUUUAAUAAUCUCUUUUAAGAAAAUUAUUUUUUACCCCAAAUGACUACAUAUAAAUGAGUUGGAAGUAAUGAGAUAUUUUAUUAAUAAUUUCUUAUGAUAUAGUAACUAUCAUUAAAAUUUCAAGUAAAAUAUAAAUAGCUAGUUAGAGUUUGAUUGUUAUUAUCUAUUAAGGUACCCUAUUCUAGCAAAAUUCUCUAGCACCGAAGAGGUAUUGUUUAGAAGAUUUACUAGUAAUCAUUGGAUUUGUGAAUUCAAAAUCUAUCAAGCAAUAGGAAGACACAGAACUAACUAAAAGAACUUGACUACAAAGUUGUAGUUGACAAUUAUUUUUUCCCCAAAUAUUAUGAGAUCUCUAAGUAUUUUUUUGAGAUUUACAUUGGCCUUUGAAAAAAUGAAAUUAUCAUGAAAUCAUAUUUAAGACCAUUCAAGUAAGUAUGAUUGAGCUUGUUGGGGUGAAUAAUAAUAUUAAAUGAUGUACUUUGAGUUUAUUGUAUGAUGAAACUCUUUUGAGCGGAAGAAACCAAUUUUGCACAAGUGUUUGAAAUUAUUUUUUAUUUUUAUUUUUGUCAUUUUUCAUUUGUGUGUUAUUGGUUGAGCUUGCUAGGGUUUUCUAAGUAUAAAUAUACCUUAUUUUGUCAAAUGUUUUAAAUACAUAUUAGAACAAUCAUUAUUUCCUAUGCAUUUCCAUUUUUUUUUUGAUAAGUAAAAGAAGUAUAUUAAACGAAAAGAGGAAACACAAAAAAUCGGUGCCCUCUAAGUAUACAGGGAGUAUACACACCACCUUUCCUAACUAGGAGCCUAUCCAGUCUAUAAAACUUACAAGAGAAGAAUGACUCUCUGCUAGGGAACCCCUGACCCAAUACCAAAGAUUACAUACAAAAGAAUAUUUCAACCUCUGAAGCGAAAGGUCCUCAUCCCCAAACGCUAACCUAUUUCUCUCCUUCCAAACUGUCCAAAAAAUACAUAACGGCGCCAUUUGCCAAGCCUUCUUGCGUCUUUUUCCCACAAACCCUCCAUUCCACUCAAGAAGGGUUGCCUUCACUGAACACGAGAGAGUCCAAGAUAUACCAAAAAGAGAGAAAAGAAGGUUCCAUAGGACCCGUGUCUUGAUACAAUGCAGUAGGAGGUGAUCCACUGUUUCUUCUUCAGAUAAACAGAGGAAGCACCUAUUUGCCAAAGAGAACCCCCUCCUUUGAAGUUGCUCCUGAGUUAAAACUUUGCCCCAAGAAGCCUCCCAAGCAAAGAAAGCUACCUUGGGAGGCACUCUUGCCCUCCAAAUUCUAUCACUAGGAAACAAAGAAAGACCCCCCGGUUCCAUCAUAGAAUAAAGGGAUCUAACUGAGAAGACCCCAUCCUUUGAAGCUGUCCAUAUCACUCUAUCUUCCUCCUCCCUUUGAACCCUGAAAGCUUGGAUCUUCUGCAACAACCGUUCCAACAAAAUAAUCUCCCAAUCGUUAAACGCCCUUGCAAAGAGAGGAGUCCAGCCAAUCCCAUCACCAACCGGAUUCCACACAUCCGAAACCCAAGCAUUCUUUGACAUGGAUAUGGAAAAAAGAGAAGGGAAAGACUCACAAAGAGGCCCAUCUCCACACCACUUGUCUUUCCAAAAUUUCACUCUUUGCCCAUUACCCAAAUGAAAGGCUACCCUGCCGUCAAAAAGCCCCCACUUCUUCCUAAUUGCUUUCCAAAGCCCAACUCCAUUUCUUCCCAACACAUCCCGAGUACUCCACCCCCUUCCUCUACGCCAUACUUUAGACUAAUUACACUCCUCCACAAUGCAUCUCUCUCAUUAGCAAACCUGCAAUUCCACUUACACAAUAGGGCGUUAUUCAUCAAAGAUAAAUUUCUCACCCCUAGACCACCUUUUCUUUUCUCCAAACAUAUCAAGUUCCAUCUUACAAGGUGAGGUUUAUAGGCUAAAGUUCCCCCACCCCACAGAAAAUCCCUCUAAAUUUUCUCCAGUCUCAUCCUUACUUUUCUAGGCAAGUGAAAUAGAGACAUCAAAUAAAUAGGCAUGCUGGACAUAGUGCUUCUGAUUAGGGUGAGUCUACCCCCUUUAGAUAUGUACUGCUCUUCCACAUAGCAAGCCUUCUACGAAAACGCUCUUCAACCCCAUUCCACACCGCCAAAGAAUUGAAAGCUGCCCCAAGGGGCAUUCCCAAAUAACUAGAGGGAAAACCUCCCACUUUACACCCCAACUCCAAAGCCAAACCCUCUAUAUUCAGCACCCUUCCAACCGGGAUUAUCUCACUCUUCUCUAAAUUAAUCCUCAACCCCGAACAGGCCUCAAACCACAUGAGGAGCCAACUUAGAUAUGUCAUCUCGUCUGGAGAGUCCUCACAAAAGACUAACGUAUCAUCCGCAAACAACAAAUGCGAUAUAUGCAUCCCCUCACCCCUCCCACCACUCACUUUCCACCCAGCUAAGUAACCCCCACUAAUCGCCCUUCUCAUCAUACUACUAAAAACCUCCAUGGCAAUCACAAACAAAUAAGGGGAAAGGGGAUCUCCUUGUCUUAGCCCCCUCGUGCUUUGGAAAAAACCGGAUGGAGACCCAUUGACUAACAAGGAAAAUUUCACUGUGGAAAUGCACCAAUCAAUCCACUUUAUCCAUCUCUCUCCAAACCCCAUCUCUUUAAGAACGGCCAACAAAAAACUCCAGCUAACAUGGUCAUAAGCCUUCUCUAUAUCCAACUUGCAUAACACCCCUCCCACAUUGUCUUUCAACCUUGAGUCCACAGCCUCGUUUGCAAUCAGCACUGCAUCCAAAAUCUGUCUACCCUCCACAAAGGCAUUUUGAGACUCUGAAAUCACUUUCCCCAUAACCUUUUUAAUUCUGUUGGCCAACACCUUGGCCAGCAACUUGUAGAGGCUACCUACAAGGUUGAUGGGCCUGAAGUCUUUCAAGUCUUCAGCUCCUCCCCUCUUUGGGACUAGUACAAGGAAAGUUGCAUUAAGAGAUUUUACAAAUCUACCCCUCUCAUGAAAUUCCUUGAAGAAUCCCAUUAUUUCAGCCUUUACUAAAUCCCAACUGAACGACCAGAAGGCCAUGGUGAAGCCAUCCGGGCCGGGGGCCUUAUCCUUGCCUAGAUCUGAAAGUGCCACGAACACCUCCCCUUCCGAAAAGGGAAUUUCCAGCCCCUCAGCCUCACAGUUGUUUAAUCUCAAGAAGGGCAACCCCUCAAUACCAGGACGCCAUCCUCCUUCUUCAGAGUACAGAUUAUUAAAAGCACCCACCACACUAUUUUUUAAUUCUAACUCCUCCGUAUGCCAACAAUCAUCCACUUUCAGCCUUGACAACCAGUUUCUUCUACUAUGCGCGUUCGCCAUCCUAUGAAAAAAUUUGGUAUUAUUGUCCCCCUCCUUCAACCACAAUUCCCUUGAUCUCUGUCUCCAAGAAAUUUCUUCCCUCAGCACCCAUGUCUUAUAAGCCUCCUGAGCCUCCUUCCUUGCUUCACAAUCCUCCAGACUCAGAGUUGAAUGAUUCUCCACUGUAUCCCAGUACACCACCUGGCUGAGAGCUUCUCUCUUCUUAGUCUCAAUUACCCCAAAAACUUCUUUGUUCCAAGUCUUUAAUAGCCCUUUUAAGGCUUUUAAUUUUGCAUCCAGGACAAAACUAAGAGACCCAGUAAAAGAUAAACUGCCCCACCAGCUCUUCAACUGAUCCAUGAAUCCCCUUUCCUCCAACCACAUAUUCUCAAAUCUGAAUGGUGACGGGCCCCUCUUCAAACCUCCAUCCUCAAGAAGAAUAGGAGAAUGAUCAGAGACUGGUCUAGCAAGAAUCCCCUGCAUGGCUCCAUUGAACAUUCUGUCCCACUCAUCCGUAACCAAGAACCUGUCAAGCCUAGAUUGAGACUGGUUGUUUAACCCCCCUCGCCAAGUAAAGAGACCCCCCUGUAAGGGGUAGUCCCUUAGCUCCAAAUCCUCUACCACUUCAGUAAAUCUUUUCAUUGAAGCAGAUAACUCACCUCCCCUGCUACGCUCUUCCGGGUAUCUAAUCAUAUUAAAGUCUCCCCCCACACACCAAGGGUCUCUCCAUAACCCUUUUAUUGAUCCAAGCUCCUCCCAAAAAACCUCUCUAUCCCUUCUACACACCGGCCCAUAAACACCAGUGAAGACCCACCUCAUCCCAUCCAUACAAUUCUUGAACAGACAUGACACUGAAAAAAUCCCUUCUUCCACCUCCAACAAAUCAACCACUCUGUUGUCCCAAAACACCAGAACACCUCCAGCUGCCCCCUUAGAGUUAAUUGCUCUCCAGUCAAUAUGUCUUCCCACCCCAAGGCUACGAACAAUCCCCGUACUCAUGUCCUUGAUUUUUGUCUCCUGCAAACACACCACGUCCACCUUGUUGGAUUUUAUUACAGACUUAAUGAUUUUCCUCUUCUCAUUAUCAUUUGCCCCUCUAACAUUCCAAGAUAAGAUCUUUAUCUUCAUUUAAUCCCUGAUCCUGAAUCCCCUCCAAAUUUGCCUUCAUUGGAAGCCAGCUUGGCUCUUUUAUAGCUUACUGUCCAUUCCAGCUUCUUUAAUUCCCUAAUGGAUUUUGUGACAGAAGACUUUGUCUUUUUAUUCUCCCUACCCUGAUUUUUCUUUUCAAUUCUCCCCUUCAUUCUUCUCAACAGGUAUAGAAUCUCCUCCUCAAACCCAACUGUCGGCAUGCCCAAGCAGUGACUGAAUUUCGCAAGGCAGCUGGAGCUCCAUACUUCCUCUUCGUCCCCCACUUCCACCUGAAGGGCCAUCGUCUCCACUAAUGGGCUUUCUAAAACCCCUCCAAAAGGAACAAUGGCUAAAUCAGUCCCAUUUGCCUCAUCACCCGACGCUCGCGGAGACAUGUUUCCAUCUUCGUGAACCGAGAGGUCCCUGUUCCUUUCUUCUUCCACGGCCCCAAACAAACCACUGAUCACUCCCACUUUCCCCACCGCAGCGCCAUCCGACCCUAAGAAAGGAGAAGAAGGAGAAAAAGCCCCACACCCCAAAGAGAAAUUAGGGGAUUUUAGUUUACGGGGGUACCUGGAAGCCUCGUUCAACAGCGCGUCGUCAGCGGGCUUCCGAUGGCCGAGGGAAGGCUCCAUGCCGCCGACGCAACUCGCGACCAACAUCUCCUGCUCCAGCUCCGUAAGGAUCCCGACAGACUCGGGGUGAGCCCUAUAAGGGACGGGCUCCCUUAAAAGGUCCAAAUGGGCCUCAGGAUUAAAAAGCCCAGAAAGCUCCUCAAUCCCCUUAGUCCAACCCGUCAAUUUGGGGCAGAGAGGGGGCGGGCCUUCGGCCCAACCCAUACCUUCCUUAGAAAACAGCCCUCCAUCCCCUUUUAAAAAAGCCCCACUGCCAGUCUUGGGCCCAGGCCCACUCCCUGAGCAGCCCACUGCAGAGUCAACAAACUCCCUGCCCCAUUCUUUGCCAUCCAUCCUGCUUGUUCUGCCACACGCCACCUUCACUUCAGUCUCCCUUUUUUGAAAAUCUGCUUUGGGCUCCCGUACUCUAGAUUCAGCGCGUGAGGCUCCCCCACCUUCAUCCCUAACCUCCCACUCACUUCUUCUCUGCAUCCGCAAGCAUGACCCAUCCUGCAACACCCUCGGAAUGGCUUCCCACCACAAGCAAAGUUCCCACCUAGUGUUACCAGCCUCCACCUCCAUUGUUCCAGGCCUUUUCAUUCCCGAAUUUUUAACCAAAAUCCGAGCCCACUGCAGCUAAGAGAAGAGGGUCGUGUCCUCAUCCACAGCUACAAACCCUCCACAGCAGUCUCCAAUGCUCUUGAAGACCUCCCUACUCCACAGAUGAAGAGGAAGGCCUACAACUCUUACCCACACUUCCUGGCUCUCUUUCCAAGUGCACCCCACUACCGGUCCCCACCUUUGCAAUAGAAACUCUCUGUCCUUAAUACGUCUGCUCCCUCUAAGAAGCACCAUAUCAGCUUCCCAUUUGUUUUGAAACACAAACAACACCAGGGCCCCACCCAACCUGAAUAUUCUUAUCUCCCCUUUCAGUAACCAAACCUCAUACGCCCAUCUCUUCAAAGAAGGCAAUGACGGGAUAGACUCAGAACUACCACCGAAACAACCCACCAGGCAAUGCCCAAGCUGUUCCUCCCUAUACAUUAUUGCCUUUUCCCCUAGGUUCACCCUCAUAGACUCCACUGGCAUACCUUUCUUCCCUUUAACUACUUCUGCAUACGAACCUGACCCUUUCUCUGAGGUAUUGGCAUUGCUCUCCUCCUUACCCAUGGACGGCACACUCUGGAAGCUAAUCCUCCCUUCUGUGGAAGAGACCCCAAGAGCCCUCAAAUUCUUAGCCAGCAAGAACCAUCCCCCUACUAAGCCACUUCCCUCAGGAAAAACUAGACAGAACUUUUUCCUUUUCGCAUCUCUGACCGAGCAGAGCAAAAAUCUCCCAGCCGCAUUAGAACGACAUUCUAGACUGAAUUUUCUUGCUCCUUCAUCCCAAACUUUUAAAAGCUUCGAGGUAGACUCUCCUCUGCACCAAGCUUCCACACCUUCCAACAGAAGGCUUAAGCCUUUUUCUCCAAAUCUUAUCCAGGAGGAGAGACCUUUGCUCCUUUCCCAGAUGGUUCCUCUUAGCCUUCCUCUGAUCUCUUCAAUGGAUAUUUUGAAAGACUUGGAUUCAACGGCAAACCAACUCUUACCUCCCUUCGGAAACCCAUGGGAGUCCCUCACUCCCAUGCUGAUGAAUUUUCUCUCACACUCAUAAAGAAAAGGGCAAAACACAACAAGACGAAAAACCCUAGGCUUCUUCCAUCACUCUCAAGAACCUCAUUGUUGACAUAAAUUUGUUUAUGGUGGUUAAUUACAUCCCAUCAAGGUAUUGAGAAGUUUACGAAGGAGUGUAAUGUGUUGUGCAUGGAUGUGAAGACAUGUGAAAGUGUCAACUGUGUCAGACACAGACCUAGGAAAACAGAACUUCUGUUUCAUGUAAACUUAUGGUUUUAUAUUUGUAGAGUUUUUAGUAGAAUUUAUGGGUGAUAUAUUUGUAGAGCUUUUGGUAAACUCUGUCGGUGAUUUUCUAUGUCUAAUACAUGUCUUUUGUGUGGUUAGAAUUCAUGUUAAUAUCUAAAUAUUUCAUAUUAAUCGAAGAAAAUAUUAUUUGUGAAAAAUUGAACUUUAAGACGUAAAAUAAUUAUUACCUUUUCACCCUUCAUAAAUUUCAGGAAUCAAGAUUCAUACUUUCAAUUGGUAUCAAAGCAUAUUGAAUCUAAAAAAUUAAAAUCUUUAAUCCCUACAUAACAUAGAUUCAUGGAACCACAAUGAGCAGAUCAUCUAUGAAAUUUUUAUCAUAGCUGUUGAAGGCUGCGUUACCAAGACCACUUCAAUUUCCUGAUGUACUCGCCUCUUCAACUGAAGAUGAUGCUUCCUUCUUUUGACCUACAAAAGAUGUUCGGACAGGAGGUCCGGACACACCCUCCGAUACUUUUAUUAGUUUUGCUCUCUAGCAUAUUGAUAUUUUUUAUGGGGCCCUUCUCCUUAGGAAUCCCUUCCCUUCUUUGACUGUGUGGGGGCCUUUUAUAGUGCUAGGAGUUUUGUCUCUUUAAAUGGUGGGAAGACUUUUUGGCUGUCAUGAUGGUGCUUAGAGGGUGACAGAGCCAUCAUUAUCCUGCAGGCGGCUGUCAGAGAUUGCUGGAUGGAUGAGUUGCCGUCAUCCUUGUCUUUUCACUCUGUAGGCGGCGCAGGGUAGGUCGUGGCAGGUCGCCUGAAGUGACCCAGGAAGGUCAUGUUGAGCAUGCUUUUGGUAAAAUGAGUAAUGAUUGCCCGCAAGACACAGUCAAGAAUCUUGUUUGAGACGUUAGCCACUGGGUUCGGAUUGGACAUCCGGACAGGGGGGUAUGCAUCGCAUGUCAGUCCACGUGAUAGUCCGGACAGAGGGUUGGAUGUGCCAUGUGUCAGUCCAUGUGAACAUCUGGACAGGGGGUUGGAGUGCCACGUGUCCAAUGGAGGAGUGCCUUGUGAGGCCACCACGUGUACGCUUAGGGGUGGUCCCUACAAUAGCUUGUCUCAAUAAUCUCAACACCUAAUUUUCAUGUUUCUUUAAUGAAGUCUAGAAUAUAAUUUCUGUCAGUAGGAAUACAGUUUGAGUAGGUUGGGUCGGGUUGAUGGCGAUUUAACACAUUUGGAUAUAGUAGCAACGGGAAACAUCUUCAUUGUUUCAUUACUUCAACAAAGGUUUGGAAAUUCUUGUAAGAAGAUCCACCUUCACUCACACUCUUUCUAGUCAUUUCCUUCAACUUCUCUGCAUUUGCUUUUAUAACAUCAUCAGAAACCAACAUUUCGAUCUUCUUCUUAAUCUCAUGCCUUGAUAUGAAUCCAUUUUCAUCUGGGUUCAACCCCAAGCCCACCUUCCACUUGUCGCAUAUGUAACUCUGGUUAUGGAAUUGAUCUACAACGUAGGGCCAGCAUAGGAAGGGGACUCCCAUGCCUAUGCCGUCCAUGGUUGAGUUCCAUCCACAAUGGGAUAAGAAACAUGCAACAGAAGGGUGAGCUAAAACUUUUUCUUGGGGUGCCCAUGAAACAAUCUUUCCAUUCUCAGCAACUCUCUCUAUGAAACCAUCAGGGUAUUCAGCAUCUGAUCCAUUGGUGAAGUCUGAUCGGACAACCCAUAAAAAUGGCCGGCCUACAAGUUCAAUACCCAGUGCUAGUUCAUUGAAUUGGUGCUGGCUUAAGAUCGCUAGGCUUCCAAAGGCAACAUAAAUGACUGAGCCAGCAGGUUGUUUAUCGAGCCAGCUUAUGCAAGUUGAAUCCUCAGGCCAAAAGUUUCCAGGAUAAUGACCCAGAUGGUUAUUUGCAAUUAACGGGCCUAUUGGUAAUAUGUUGGGAAUCAAGUCACAAGCAGAUGAGUCAAGUUCGUAAACGGAGUUGCAAAUAAGCCAAUUGGAAAGAUUAAUAGCUGAGAUGUCUUUGAAAGCAAGUCGGAAAAUGACCUCUUGUAAGGUUGGAUCACUCGGGCAGCUCCACGGCAAUCUGUUGCUGCUAAAGGCUGGUAUAUCCUUUGCCAGGCAGAUCAACUCGUCGUUCAAAAGAGAUCCUGCAAAGAUAUUACAAUUAUUAAUUUCCAUCAAAACCAAGAAAAUACUUAGCUACUUCCCCCGAUUUUUAUUGAAUUUUCAGGGGCUAUUAGCUUUAGUCUCUUAACUUGUUUUCAAUUACUAGAAAUCUUCAUGUUUCAUCAAUUAGGUAUAAACAACAGAUUUAACUUUAGAAAUAUGAUAUGUGCAAGUUUAAGUGUUAAUACCAUCAGUACUAUUUAGAAGUCCGGCCUCAAUAAGCCUUGGAAUGUGAAAUGCCAAAGCCAAGCUUCCUGGUCCAAAGGGGCAAAACGCGACCCUCUUGAUCCCCAUCUUGUCGGCAACCUCUAGCGCCCACCCAAAUGCUGAAUCAGCAAUAACACAAGUGAUCUUCUCAUCAUCAUUCGAGUUGUUAACCUUCUCCAUAAACUCCUUCAAAUGACCCGGCAUGACUCUAAAAAUACUGUCUGUCAACUUGAGCGAAUCUUUUCGAUCCUCCCCCGGACCCAGUCCAUCUGGGAUCGAGGCUAGCCCUAUCCGACUCCGAGCCUCAUCCUCAUCUGGCAGUGCAGCCACCAGUUUUUCAUGUAUGAAGUCUGAGUUAACAAAGGUGACCUUGAUCCCAUGAUCAGAAAUCUGGUACGCAAACUUCAUAAGGGGAGCAACAUGUCCUUGUGCUGGGAAUGGAAUAAUCAGCACAUGAGGUCGCCUGCCCAUGGUUGCUGCCAACACUUCCACACACUUCUGCUUCCUCUGAUCCCAAGUUUCAGGAUUAACACUGCUUCUCUUUAUUAGCCUAAGCCCUCUAUUGUGUGAAUCGUAAACCUAUUUGCUAAAUUUUAGCUGCAGCCCAUCUCCUACACAUGAAUUUCAUAUAUUAUCUGAAAGAUACGGUGUUGUGGCUCAAGUUCUUUGGCACUUUAAUUGGUUUUGUCUAGAUCCUACCUAUUUUGUCUUUAUGAAGUGUCUUGUGUGGCUCUCGGUUACUUUGGUUUAAUUUUAAAACCUAAAUUGCACUGAUAAACUUUUGGUUUCUGCAUUACACACUCCAUAUAUACAAUAAACAUUUUGUUGGUGCAGUCAUUGGAUUGUAGCCAUUUUUUCUACUUGGUUUUUCCACCAAGUUGCUGAUACCUCGCUGUGUAUUUUAUUCUCAAGUGCUUCAAGGUAUAUUACGAGGAAGUUAUCAUUGGUUGUUUGCUUUGUCUUCACCUACAACCCCUUAUGUAGCUAGCCUCCUUUUGUUGUUGCAUGAAUGGUUUGAGCUCUUUAUUCUCAUCCCAGCAUGUAUUUAUUAAACAAGCUUGUAUUUUUGUUGAGCCUGAUUGAAGCUAGAUUUGGACAAUGAAGGGAAAUGAAAUUUUGGACAAUGGCUAGAUUUCACCUUAGUAGCAUCACUCUCAAUUAAUUCUUCGAUAUAAACAUUACUCCAGAUGCUUUAGCAUUUAUUCUUGGGAAGUCAUCUCUAGUUUAUAACUUUGUCCUUUAUGUAGGGCUUUAUGCGGUCUCUUUCUCUAUGGUUUUGAGCUCGUGGUUCUUGUCCCUUGUAUUGAUUCUUUUUCUCUAUCUUAUACCUUCAGAUGAUUCCAUUUUCCUCGAGUUCAGCAGACGCUUUAGAAUAUAUUUUUGGGUAGUCAUCUCUAGUUUACUUUGUCCUUUGUGUAGGCCUUUAUGCAGCUAGUCUCUUUCUCUAGUUGUAUAUAUGGUUUUGAGCUCUUGGUUCUUUCCCCUUGUAUUGAUUCUCUUUCUCUAUCUUAUACCUUCAGAUGGUCCCAUUUUCCUCUGAAUCAGCAGAUGCUUUAGCAUAUAUUCUUGGGUAGUCAUCUCUAGUUUACUUUGUCCUUUAUGUAGGGCUUUAUGCUUGUCUCUUUCUCUAUGGUUUUGAGCUCUUGGUUCUUUUCCCUUGUAUUGAUUUUUUUUUUCUCUAUCUUAUACCUUCAGAUGAUCCAAUUUUCCUCUGAGUUCAGCCCUACACCCACCUUUGUAAAUCACAGAUAUGGAAGUGGUCGCCAAAGUAAGGACAAACCUUCAUAAUUGAGUUCCAAGCAGAGUGGAUUAAGAAACCAGCAAGGGCAAACCCUUGGCAUAGAGAGCUAUGGUUUAUUAAGCUACAAAUAAUCCUGGAUGAAUUUUAGAAAUUGCUGAAAGCUACAAAUAAUUUUUGAAUUUCUUUUAAUUUUUUUUUAAAAUUUUUUUAUUAAGCAAAAAAUUUCAAAUCAAACUAUACUUGAUACAUAAAAUUUAUUAAUUUUUAAAAUAAUUUGAAACUAAAAAAACCAAUUUAAUUGUUAGUUCUAGAAAGUCAUGGAGCUUAAUAAUAUUAAAGAGUCAUUGAGUAAAAUUUAUUUUGAAUGAAUUGGCUAAUUUAUUUUAUUUUUGCAUAUAAUCAUACUUUAUAAAUUUUGUUCAUUAAACAAAUAUACUCUAAGAGGGUGUUUGUUUUUUUGGCUUUUUGCUUAAAGCAAUUUGUUUUGAGAAUUUAGGUUAUUUGGUUUUCUAUUUUUUCACGACUUAUUAUAAAUUUUUUGCUGAAUAAAAAAAAUCAAAAUAUUUAGUUUUUUCUAAAUAGAAAAUAUAACAUAUUAGUUUUUCUUUAUUUUUUAAUACUAAAUAGAAAUAAAAUACUACAAAAACAAAUAACUUAAUACUUAACACUAUUAAACAUUAAAGUUCUAUUUAGAAUUAAGUAAAAAAAAAACAUCACCUAAAUUAAGAAAUAUUUAAUGCAUUAGAAUCGUUACUAAGCAUAUAAAUUUUUUAAAAUAACUUGAAACUCAAAAAGUGAAUCAAUUAACAUGAAAAUUUUAUGAACAAAAGUUGGCCUAAAAUGACUAUUAUUGCUCUUCUAUGUAGAAUCAUAUUCUUCAAAUUUUUCAUUGAAAAAUAAACUUUAAAUUAAGCAAAUUAAAACUUGAUGUGUUAGAUUUAUUAAUGAGUGUAAUAAUUUAAGCAAAAAAUAAUUUGAAACUCAAUCAGUGACCAACUAAUACAAAAAAUUUAUAGACAAAAAUUGGUCCAUAAUGACUAUUAUUAUUAUUACUAUUAUUUUGACAUGUAAUGAUAUUUUUAUGAAUUUUAUUAUUAGAGAAAUGAACUUCAAAAUAAAACUACACUAUGUAUUGAAUUUAAUAAUUUGAAACUACUAAAAUAGAUCUAUCCACUACAAAAACUAAUAGGUCGAAACUAAUAGAUUAUAAGUUAUGACUUUACUUUUUAUCCUCUAAUAUUUUAUGAAUUUUCUCACUAGGUGAAUACAUUCUAAAUUUAGUGAGACAUAAUUAAUAAUUAAUUUAAAUUUUUUUUAUGAAUCUUUUAAUUUUUAAGAAUAAUUUUGAAUUCAAAAAAUAAAGCCAAUUAAUUACAAAUUAAAUCAAAAUAUUUAAAACUUUGUCCACAAUUAUAUACUACACAUGCACAUCUAACGAAAACUUUGCUCAUUUAUAUAUUAAAAAAUUAAAAAUUAUUUUUUAAAAUAAAAUAUUAUUAAUAAUUAUUAUUUUUAAAUUAUAAUUGUUCUUUUUUUCUUUUUUCUUUUUAAAUGAUUAUGCUUAAGAUGUUAAUCUUCACAUUUUUAUAACAUAUACUAAAAUAAUAUUUUUAUAAAAAAAUAUAAUUUGUGAUUUUAGUAUAAUAUUAUUAUUUAUAAUUUACUAAAACUAUUUAUUUUUUUAAUUUAUCUGUAUUUACAAAACUAUUUUUAAUUUUUAUAAAACUUCAAUUAAAUUUAAUUAAUAUAAUUAAUAUCAGUGUUUUAAAAACCGAACUUAAUCUGUGACCAUCAACCGAGGACCAAACCGGUUUGGUCUACCUAUUGAACCAUUUGACAAUUGAACCGUCCGCGAACCGGCGGAGCCACGAUUGAACCGGUGAACCAGGCGGUUUGCCAUAAACCGAACAGUUCUUUGGUUAAUAUUUUUUUCAUUUUUAAAUCCAAGACAGAUGCAUUUUGCACGGAAAUGAAAAGCCCUAACCCCUCUCCCCUUUGCCCCCAUGCCCAACCGUCCCUUGCCCUCUCCAGGAGCCUUCCUCAGCCCCCCACCUUCGGCACCUCUAGCCAGCAGGCUUGCGCCGACACCGACGCCAAUGGAAGACAGUGACGCCGAUGGACGAAUGCGACGUCGACGACUCCACUGACUGGAGUUGUAAAUGUUGUUUGGCUUCCUUGUUUACUAUUUAAAUAUUUAUCAUUUGAUUUAUCUAAUUAUUUUAUUUGAUAUUUGUAUUAUUUUUAAUUUCUAAUUUUUGGAAAUUCUGAUUUUUAAAUAUGUUAUUUUAUAUUUAUGAUUUUAAUUUUUAAAUUUAUGAAUUUAAAUUUCUUAAUUUCGAUUUAAAUCAUUUUAUUUAUUUGAAAAUAAAUUUUUGGUUUUAAAAUAAGUUUUUGGUUUAAAAAUAAAUUUAAAUUUUUUUAAUUUUAAAAUAAAUAUAUGAUUUUCAAAUAAAUUCUGAUUUUUUAAAUUUGUGAUUUUAUAUUUAUGAAUUUAAAUUUCUGAAUUUGAUUUGAAUCAUCUUAUUCAUUUAAGAAUAAAUUUUAUGAUCUUAAAAUAAAUAUCUAAUUUUCAAAUAUAUUUUCUAUUAUCAAACAUAUUUUUGACUUUUAAAUAAAUAUAUGAUUUUAUAAAAAAUUUAUGAUUUUUUAAAAUUCUAAUAUUUUGAAUUUAUGUUUUCAAUUAUCAAUUGAAUUUAUGAUAUUAUUAUUAUUUUUAAUAUUUUUUUAAUUUUAAUAAUAUAUAUACAUAAUAUAUAUUAUAUAUUUAUGAUGUCACCUAUUCAAUCGCGGUUCAACACCAAUCCAAUUCAUGAUUCAUGAACCGAUAACUUUUCUAAUUUAAUGACCAAUCCGAUUCUGAAAACAUUAAUUAAUAUUACAUAAAUUGAAUUUAUAAUAUUUUUAAAAAUAACUUGCCAAACACCCCUAUUUUUAUAAAAUACUAAAAAGUUAUUUUUUGCUCUUUUAACAACAGUUUUUAAAGAUAAACAUUACAAAACAUGGCUAAACGGCCCUUAGCUCCUGGGUUUCAGCAAAAGAUUCAAAACAGCGCCAUCUUGUGGCCUCCGUCAACAUGUUUUGUUGCCCAAUUUUUGUGUAAGCUCUAAAUAAUGCUGCUUUCGAUUUUCAAUUGCUCUGUUCGUGCACUUUUUUUAUAUGUUGCCAUGUAGACAACAGUAUAGUUCUUGAUCCCCCAAUCAUACAUAAUUCUUUGCUCCACUACUAAUGCAUUACAUCAAUAUCUGUCAUUAAUUAACUCUACCACACAAAUUUCAUGCAGCAAUUGCCAUGAUUUUUGUUCACUAAGAUCACAUACCAACCCCUGCACAUGCAUACACAACAUGAAUGCAUUCGCUUUUAUUGAGAGAAUGGUUUCACACAUUUGAAUGUGGCAACAUUGGGAAGCAUCUUCAGAGUUUCAUUGCUUCAAUAAAGGUUUUGAAAUUCUUGUAAGAAGAUCCGCCUUCGCUUACACUCUUUCUAGUCAUUUCCUUCAACUUCUCUGCAUUUGCUUUUAUACCAUCAUCAGAGACCAACUUUUCGAUCUUCAUCUUAAUCUCAUGCCUCGAUAUGAGUCCAUUUUCAUCUGGGUUCAACCCCAACCCCACCUUCCAUUUGUCGCAUAUGUAAUUCUGGUCAAGGAAUUGAUCUCCAACGUAGGGCCAGCAUAGGAAGGGGACUCCCAUGAUUAUGCUGUCCAUGGUUGAGUUCCAACCGCAAUGGGAAAAGAAACAUGCAACAGAAGGGUGAGCUAAAACCUCUUCUUGGGGUGCCCACGAAACAAUCUUUCCAUGGUCAGCUACUCUCUCAAUGAAACCAUCAGGGUAUUCAGCAGCUGACCCAUCGGUGAAGUCUGAUCGGACAACCCAUAAAAAUGGCCGCCCUACAAGUUCAAUACCAAGUGCUAAUUCAUUGAAUUGGUGCUGGGUUAAGUUUCCGGUGCUGCCAAAAGCAACAUAAAUGACUGAGCCAGCAGGUUGUUUAUCGAGCCAGCCUAUGCAAGUUGAAUCCUCAGGCCAAAAGUUUGCAGCAUAAUGACCCGGAUCACGACUUGCAGGUAACGGGCCAAUUGGUAAUAAGUUAGGAAUCAAGUCACAAGCAGAUGAGUCAAGUUCGUAAACACAGUUGCAAAGAAGCCUCUUGGAAGAAUUCAUAAAUUGAAUAGAUGUGAGAUAAAUUCGGAAAACCCACUCUUGUACCUUCAGAUCAAUUGGCCACUUCCAGGGCAAGCCGUUGCAGCUCAAGACUGGAAUACCCUUCGACACGCAGAUCAACUCAUCUUUCAGAGGAGUUCCUGCAGAGAUAUUUGAAUCAUUUCUAUCAAAACCAAGAAAUUUCUUAGACAACAAGUUAAUUUUAGAAAUAUGAUAUAAAUUAACAAGUUGAAGCCUUAAUACCAUCAGUACUAUUUACGAUUCCGGCCUCAAUUAGCUUUGGAAUAUGAAGUGCCAAAGCCCAGAUUCCUGCUCCCAUAGGACAAAAAAGGACCCCUUCGAUUCCCAUCUUCUCUGCCACCUCCAUUGGCCACCGCUCAAGUGUUAUGUCAGCAAUAACACAAGUGAUCUGCUCAUCAUCAUUCGAGCGGUUGACUUUCUCAAUUAAAUCCUUCAAAUGACCCGGCAUGACUCUUGAACUACUUUCUGUUAUCUUGAGCAAGUUUUUCCGAUCGUCCCCUGGAUCCAGACCAUCUGGGAUAGAGGCUAGCCUUAUCCCACUCUGAGCCUCAGCCUCAUGUGGGAGUGCAGCCAGCAGUUUAGCAUGUAUGAAGUCAGAGUUAACAAAGGUGACCUUGAUCCCGUGAUCAGAAAUCCGGUUUGCAAGCCUCAUAAGAGGAGCAACAUGUCCUUGCGCUGGGAGUGGUAUAAUCAGCACAUGAGGUCGCCUGCCCAUGGUCCUUGCUAACUUGCCAACACUUCCACCCUUCUCUUUGCUCUGAUCCCAAGCUUCACUAAUACUGAUACUGUUUUAUUAUCCUGAGCCCUCCUUGGAACUGUAUUUAUGAAAUUGAGGUGCAAAACUUUUUUCCCUUUCAAAAAACAAAGGGAAUAUGAAGUCCUCGCUAGCCUUUUUAACAAUGAAAACUAGUGGAAGUUCACCGACACCAGGUCUGGAAAACCCUCGUCUCAGAAAUGCAAGGAAAGGGAAGAACGUGAAGAAUUUGAAGACCUUCACACUUGGAUCAACCCUUGUUUUCUUCUUUUCUCCUCACCUUUCACCUUUCACUCUCAACCGUCUGCCCACACAUGCUUCCACAUAGCCCUAGCUGCUGCAUUAUUGGCCUUAGAAACCAGCCGCCAGACCAGCCCAACAUGUGGGUUUGAAAAAAAUACUUUCCUGAGCUGGAACCCAUAUAUGGGCAAGCCCAACAAAGUCCAUCUCUGAUUUAUGAAUUUAUUUUAUUACCUCAAAGCUAUAGGUUUGUGGGUCUGGCCCACACUUAUUGUGGUGUAAUCUCCUAUGUGGUUAAUUUGUCUUUAUAGUGUCUUCUAUGGCUCUGGAAGCAUAUUUAAGAAUUUCAUUUAGUUGGCUGCGUUUCAUCUCACAGUUUUAUGACUGUUAACGUUUAAGACAAAUACGUAUCUCUGUUGUGAGUAAGCUUUUCAGGCAGUGUCCUGGAAAACUAAUAGAAUUUGGAGGACUGUCUGAUUGAUCCUAAAGAAUUUUAGCUGAGUACAAAUGAAAUGUGGAAUUUCCAUUAUUCUAAGUUUUAAACUUAUAUUUCACUUAACAACCUUUUUUUUUCCUGCAUUACCACCUCAUAUUGGAUUGUAGCCAUCUUUUCUGUCAGUUUUUUCUUCUUUUCCAGUGUUGCUGAUGCAUCAAGAUAUAUAUCUUUUGUUUUAUAUGAUGAGGAAGUCAUCAUUACGUUUUUCCUUCGUCUUUUUUACAUACAAACUCUGAUGUAGCUUGAAUCUCUUGUCUUUUGCAUCAUCAGCUGUAUUUGUCUGUUUCUGUUAUAAACAAGCCUGUAUUGAUGUUGAGCCCUCCCUUCUACUUUAUUUAAGUAUUUCAUACAUUAUCUGGAAGCUAAAGUCUGUGGCUCAUAUCCUUUGUCACUUAUCUUGGUAUUUUGUCUUUAUAAAGUGUCUUCUGUGGCUCUCCAUUACAAAGGGUUAUGAAAAAGAUGUGGUUGUAAGGGUAUUCUCUUCUUUUGUCCGGACCUCUUCUUUUGGUGGUAACUUUUGUUGAAAUCCAAAAAAAAUUCAAAGAGAAAAAGAGAAGAAAAAAAAAUGUAGGAUUUCUUGUUAUGAAUUCUCUUGAAAAUAGGUGCAAUACUAUUACAAUUUAAAUAGACCUAAUAAAAGAAGAUAAAGACUAUUUUACCCUUACUUCUAAAGAUAUAGAAAAUAAUUCCAACAUUGUAACUAAAUAAACAACAAAUUAUUUUUUUGCCCUUUAGAAAAUUUUCCAUCACAUAACUCCAAAACAAAUAAUUUUAUUUUUUUGUAUCCAAUUUCCUACUAUUAGAUUAAAGGAAUCAUUUCAUUCACUAUGAUGAAUAAAAAACAAAUAACUAUCAAACAAAAAAAAAGCAUAUAUGAAUAAAAGAAAACGAAUACGAAAUCAAAUACUAUGAUCAAAUUAGAAAAGAAUUAUGUCAUUUAUCUUGGUAUUUUGUCUUUAUAAAGUGUCUUCUAUGGCUCACCAUUGCCACUUAUCAAAAGUUUAAUUAAAAGAUUAUUUUUGCUCUAAUACCAGGUUGAAAUCCAAAAAACGAUUUAAAGACAAAAAUAUUGAGAAAAAACAAAAUUUAGGAUUUCUUUUAAAAAUAACUCCAACAUCAUUAGAAUUUAAAUAAACAUAAUAAAAGAAAAUAAAAACUAUUUUAAUCUUGUAGAAAGAAAGAAAAUAAUUCUAAUAUAGUAACUAAAUAUAUAAUAACUAAAUAAUACAUAAUUCUAAUAUACUAACUAAAUAUAUCAAUAACUUCUAAUACCUUUUAAGAUUGGAUACCGUAGAUGGGCCCUUUUAAAUAAUAUUUCUUUGAUGUGAUGAUGGGUUGGAUAUUUUAGUAAAAUAUAGUGGGACUUAUUUUGGUUCUUUGAUUAUGAACUAAUAAUUGGUGAUACUCCAAAUGCAAUAUUUGAGUGUAUUAAUUUUUGCUAUGAUUAUUUUAAAUUAUGGUUACAUCGUAGAGGUCUUUUUCACAAGUAUAAUUGAUUAUAAAUAUAAUUAUAAUUUUAUUGUAAGACAUUUGAUAAAACCUAAUACAUAAUACUUAAUGAUUUAAGAUGAGUUUAAGUUAAAUUAUAUUUAAGUCAUUAAAUUAAUUGAGCAAAUGUCUUCAAAUUAUUUUUAAUUUUAAGUUAUAAUAUUUAUUAUGUGUUAGGAAUUUUAGGCUAAUCCAAUCUAUGGUAAUCACCUUAGAGGGAGAGGGGCGGGAAGGGGGUGAAUAGCGUGAUAGUCUCUUUUCACAAAUUUAAACAAGUGAAUGAAGAGACAAUUAUAUGCAAGUAUAUAAUAAGCAAUAUAAAGACAAUUGCAUAUAAAUUAAAGAGUACGGAAGAGAGAAUGCAAACACAAGUGUUUAUAGUGGUUCAGCGCAACCCAACCUACAUCCACUCUCCUCUAGCUUCAAUCCCAAGCUUGAGUUUCCUUUAAUCCAAGGCUUCCAACCCAAGCCUUCAAGCAAUACAAUUGGAUUAUGGUUCCAAUUCACCCUCUUGGACUUUUGGCUCCAAGCACCCUUUACACUUCACAAGAGAUAUCCCCCUCUUGAAAAACUUUCUCUUAAGAAUUUACAAAUAAAAGAUCACACAAAAAUCCUAGCACAAGAACUUUAAGCUCAAAUGAUACAAGAGAAACUAGGAUUGAAUGGUGCACUAAAGAUAUGCAAGUUUUGAAAUAAUGGUGCACUCAAAAAUACUAUUCCAAGGCUCAAAUAUAAUUAAGAAAGAUUUGGGAAGGUUAAUCUUUUUAAACAAUGAAGUUUGGAGCCUUUUUAUAGAAGAGAAAAACCAAACUAGUCGUUUGGGGGUUUGACCGGUCGAGCUAGGGGUCGACCGGUUGACUAGCCGUUAGCAUUAAAUGCUUGGCAGGUGACCAUUAGCCUCAACCGGACCUCGACCGGACCUCGACCGGUCCUCGACCAAGAAGAGAAGGCCACUGGGAGAGAGAGAAACUUUUUGGCCUUCCUCAACCGGUCCUCGACCAGACGAGCGCAACCGGUCCACCGGUUCCUCAACCAGUUGAACCGGUUGAGCCAUUUUUUGGCUCAACACCCAAUCUUUUUCAACUUAAAACCUUUUAAAACAAGUUUGAAAGAUAUUUAACACAAGGUUUUAGUUGAAAACAUGAAAUCAUUCAAUUCUUAAGAUAUUUAAAACAAUAUUACUUUUGGAUGAUUUUGGUGCAUAAAUAAAGAAUGAAAUGCAUGAAGUCCUAGUGCACCAACAGCCUUACAAAGAGAUCUUAUGAAGCUUGGGUCUUGAAAAACUCUUCUCUUUGAGGUGGUCUUCUUCUUCAUGAUUUCUCCUUGACUUGAUUUGUCUUUGUGAUUGCCACUUUGGAGAUCGUUUUGCCUAAUCACACUUGAAAUAUGAUCAUUAGUUCUAAACCUUGUUUUGUUAUCAUCAAAAUCAAGAUUAACCAAACCAUGGUUUCACAUUAUGAUUAAUAAUUUAUGUGAUUAGGUCGUUAAGAUAAUUUACCUAAUAAAUUUCUCUUACUUAGAUAAUCUUAUGAGAAGCAAACCUUGGCAUUCACUCUCACCUUUUACAAAGCUUUACUUCCUUGAUUUUCCAAGGGUGCUAUCGCUGAAACAUGAUGGUUUUGGAGGCUAUGUUGUUGAAUGUCCCAAAACCAUAUUGGAUUAGUUUCACCAUCACUUAGAACUCUUGGGUUGGAGCCCAUUUGACCAUAUUAUUUUAUACUUAUUGUUAUAAAAAUUAGGCUAAUACAACCUAGAGUAAUCACCCUAGAGAUGGGGUGAAUAGGGUGAUGGUAUUAUUUUGUAAAUUUAAAUUAUAUGAAUGCAAGAAACAAUUAUAUGCAAAUAUAUAAUAAAACAAUAUAAAGACAAUUGCAUAUAAAAUAAAAGAGUAGGGAAGAGAGAAUGCAAACACAAGAUUUUUAUAGUGGUUUAACGUAACCCAGCUUACAUCCACUCUCUUCUAGCUUCAAUCCCAAGCUUAAGGUUCCAUUAAUUUAAGGUUUUCAAACCAAGUCUUCAAGCAAUACAAUUGGAUUAUGGUUUCAACCACUAUCUUGGACUUUUGGCUCUAAGCACCCUUUACAAUCUCCAAGAGAUAUCUCACUCUUGAACAACCCUUCAAGUGACACUCCACACUUGAGAAUCCCUAAGUGAUACUUCACACUUAGAUUUUUAAUCUCAAAGAUUUAAAGAAGAAUCCUAGUACAAAACUUUAAGCUCAAAUGUACAAGAAAAACUGGGAUUGAAAGGUGUACUAGUGAUAUGCAAGUUUUAGAACAAUGGUGCACUAAAAAAUACUCUUCCAAUGCUCAAAUAUAUUUAAUUAAGGUUUAGGAAGUUAAAACUCUUGAAACAAUGAAGAUUGAAGCUUUUUCAUAAAAGAAAAAAACCAAAUUAGGCAUUAGGGGUUCUUUCGGUCGAGCUCCGAUUCAAUCGGUUCACUAGCCGUUAGCAUUUAAUGCAUGACAGAUGACCAUUGGACCUCGACCGUCCCUUAACCACCCAUCGAUUGGACCUUGACUGGUUGAAAAAGCAUUCUAGAAUAAAUAUAAGGUUUUUGCACCAUUCAAUCGAUUGAGCUAAACGAGUCGACUGGUUUCUCGUCUGGUUCAACUGGUUGAGUCGUUUUUUGCUCAACAACCAUCAUUUUUAACUUAAAACCUUUUUAAAAGGUUUAGAAAAUAUUUGACACAAGGUUUUAGUUGAAAACAUGAAAUCAUCCAGAGAGAAGAACUCAUGGAAAAUAUAGAAUGAAUGAAACUAAGGGAUCAAGACACAUCCAAAGAAGGAUGAACAAUGAACCCCAAAAGAAGAUAGAAAACCCCUCACAAUCUAACCCAAUUUGUUUUAAGUGUGGUAAGGUAGACCACUAAUAAGAAAGAUUGUAAGGUUAAAAAGAAAAUUAAUAACUUAAACAUUUCAAAAGACUUAAAAGACAUGCUUUGCAAAGUAAUAUUAAACUCCUCAGAAUUUGAAUCAAGGACUGGUUCAAAUAAUGCAAGGAAAGGGAAGACCGUCCGCCCACACAUAUGCUUCCACAGCUUCACAAACAUAGCCCUAGCUGCUGCAUUAUUGGUCUUAGGAACCAGCCGCCAGACCAGCCCAACAAAUCAUAUUGGGUUGUAGCCAUCUUUUCUGUCAGUUUUUUCUUCUUUUCUAGGGUUGCAGAUGCAUCAAGAUAUAUAUCUUUUGUUUUAUAUGAUGAGGAAGUCAUCAUCACCUUUUUCGUUCGUCUUUCACAUACAAACUCUUAUGUAGCUUGAAUCUCGUCUUUUACAUCAUCAGCCGUAUUUGUCUGUUUCUGUUAUAAACAAGCCUGUACUGAUGUUGCUGAGCCCUCCCUUCUACUUUAUUUAUGUACUUCAUACAUUAUCUGGAAGCUAAAGUCUGCGGCUCAUUUCCUUUGUCACUUAUCUUGGUAUUUUGUCUUUAUAAAGUGUCUUCUCCCGAGAAAUCGGCGAUAUAUCGGCGAUUUUUCCCGCUUUCGAGGGGAUUUGAACCCCAAACCAAAAGAAUAUAUUGUGCACUAAACUUAUAUAUACUUAAACUCAUUAUAUAAAGAAAAUAUUAAAAGAAUAUUUUAAAGAGCAAAUUAAUUAUAAUUAUUUUAUAAUUAAAUACAAAAUUUUCUUUUAAUUGAUUACCAAAAAUAUAAAAAUUAUAUAAUUUUCUUCAUAAUGUUUUUAAUAUCAUUAAUAAUUAAUUAAAUAUUAAAAAAAAUUUAUAUAUAUAUAUAUAUAUAUAUCAUAAUUUAUUUUAUAUUGUUUAAUACAAUUAAAUUAAAUGGAUCAUAAUUUUAAUAUUAAUAUAUAUUUUAAAAUUAGACAUAUUAUAAUCAAAUAUCAUAAUAGUAGAUGUAAUUUAAUAAUAAAUGUACACUUAUAAAAUUCAUAUUUUUAUCGAUGCAUACGAUAUUAUUAUCAAAUAUGAUAAAUCAUGUUAUACAUAUAUCAAAAUUUUUCAAUAAAAUAACUUUAAAAUGUCUAUUAUACUUCUAAUUAUAUUAUUAUGAGGUUUUCCUUACAUUUUUAUGAGUUUUUAAUAAUUUUAAGUCUACCGAUAUUUUUUUCCAAAAUAUCCGCCGAUAUAUCUCCAAUAUAUCCGAUAUAUACGUAAAAUCGAAGUACCGAUAUUUUCAUCCUUGGUUACAUCUUAGAGGUUUUUUUUCAUAAGUAUAAUUGAUUAUAAAUAUAAUUAUAAUAUUAUUAUAAGACAUUUGAUAAAACUUAAUACAUAAUACUUAAUGAUUUAAGAUGCGUUUAAGUUAAAUUAUAUUUAAGUCAUUAAAUUAAUUGAACAAAUAUCUUCAAAUUAUUUUUAAUUUUAAGUUAUAAUAUUGAUUAUGAUUAAUAAUUUAUGUGAUUAGGUCGUUAAGAUAAUUUUUCUAAUAAAUUUCUUUCACUUAGAUAAUUUUAUGAGGAGCAAACCCUGGCAUUCACUCUCACCCUUUUACAAAGCUUUACUUCCUUGAUUUUCUAAGGGUGCUAUUGCUCAAACAUGAUGGUUUUGGAAGCUAUGUUGUUGAAUGUCCCAAAACCGUAUUGGAUUAGUUUCACCAUCACUUAGAACCCUUGGGUUAGAGCCCAUUUGACCAUAUUAUUCUACACUUAUUUUUAGAAAUUGUUUUGAAGUUAAAAAAAAAAAAGUUACAGUUUUUAUUUUCUAAAAACAAUGGUGUUUAGCAACUUUGUUUUUAAAAACACUUUUUAAAAAAUUUUAAAAAAAAAUUGGAUAAUUUUUUUUAAUAUUUCGAUUUUAUAAAAAAAAUCAUAGACUUAAUGUAUAUAAUAUUAAUUAAAUUUAAUUCAAGCCUUGUGUAGACCCCUUUUAUUGGAGGGACCCGGGGGGGAGAGUUUUUUUUUUUUUUUUCUCUCUCUCUUUUGGGCAUUUCUUUUUUUUAACAAAAGGGGGGGACCAACUGCAGGAGAGGAGGAGGAGCAGGGAUGGCCAUAAUUUGAGGGGUCAUGCCUGCUAAUGAGGACACAGGAGAGUGGGUGAGAGAGACAGGAGGGUCUUGAGGUUAGGAGGGAAGCUGGUUGGAGGUAGCCUGAAGGUAUGACUGCUAUGAAUGCUUGGGUUUUUCUUCAUUGGAGCAUAAUCUCUCUCUGUUUUUCUAGAUUUUUUUUUUAUGUGGAUCGUUUGGCUCUGUGUUUAGUUUUAUGGUUUAUGCUUGGUUGCUAUCUCCUUCAUUUUUCCAUGGGAUGCAUGUUUGAUUUAACUCACCCUCAUCUAAACCCAUUGAUUCAAACAUGUAAUAUGGCUUGGAUGGGUUCGUUUUAUCCUUUCCCAUUGUGCUCUAUUUGCUAUUUUCCCAUGUUCUCAAUGCCCUGCCAUGGUGAAUACCAUAGUUCUCCAUUUUGUCGGAGAUUUUAUACCGGAGAGCACCCACAAUCGCGGCCUCAGGUGCAGCCAGUGUUGGUGCUGGCGGGGGCAGGCGCUGGCUAGUGCUGACAGGCGCUAGUUGGUGCUGGUUGGUGCUGGUUAGUGUUGGCUGGUGCUGGCUGGCACUAGCUGGUGCAGGCGCUAGCGCGGCAUCCAGUGACGAUGCCGAUGCCACCCCAGGCAACUCAUUCCACACCGGCAACCUUUCUCCUUCUUCCACCUUGGGCUCGCCCAUUGAUGAUGGGUGUGGGACUGAGUUAGAGCCCAGGCCCGUUUGUGAGGGUGAGGAGCCUCAUGCCAGCCAUCUUCCUAGCCUAAGUCCACCUUAAGUUGGUGCCUUGGGCUUGCCCAUAUUGGUGACAGGUUUGGGCUUAAGUUGGAGCCCAGGCCCACAGUUGCUGAUGAAAGGCCCUUUUGCUCCCUAUGCUAUCCAUCUCCAUGGCCCAAGUCCAUGUUGGAUUAGCCCAUUUGGCCACAUUAUGUCUAAACAAGUUUUUGAAUCCCUAACCUUAGUAAAUUAUUAACUUAUUCAUGCUUUUUUUUAUUAUUAUUAUUUAUUCUUAUUUUAUCUUCACCAAUUUAGUUAGCUCAACUUAAAGACAAUUAAAAGAUAAAUUAUUAUUGUUAAUUAUAUUUUUAUCUUGAAAUUUACACGAUUCAAUUUCACUAGUUUAAACAUUAUGAUUGUCAACUAUUAUUAUUAUUUCGUACGUAUCUAUUCAUCAUCUUUCAAAAUCUCAAUCAUCAAAGUUAAAUUCUAAUCCUUCAAAAACCCCAUAUCUUAAUCUAAUAUUUCAAUAAUCCGUUUAAAUCUCGUUUUCAUCAAUUAAGAAUUAUUAUCAUAUAUUUAUCUAGUUAUUUGAAGUUUUACCCUUUCAAAAAUCCCAUAUCUUAAUUCAAUUUUUCAAUAGUUCGUUCAAACCUUAUUCGUCUAAAUGUUAUCUUCCUUAAGUAGAAUUAUUAUCAUAUAUCUAUUUAUUUAUUUAAAGUCUAAUUCCUCAAAAACCCAGCGUCCUAAUUUAAUUCUCGACCCUAAAAAUUCCACUAUUCUUUUUUAUUCGUCUAAAUGUCAUUUUCGUUAAUUAAGAAUUAUUGUCUCAUAUUUAUUUAUUCAAAGUCUAAUCCUUCAAAAAUCCAAUGUCAUAAUUUAAUUUUCAAUCCUAAAAAUUCCACUAUUCGUCUAAGUGUUAUUUUCGUCAAUUAGAAACUCGAUACUUGUUUACCUCUUUUAAAAAUCUCAAUCAUUGAACUUAAUUCUUGACCCUAAAAAUUCCACCAUCCUUUUUUUUAUUCGUUUAAAUGUUGUUUUCAUUAAUUAGUAUUAUUACCCCAUAUUAGUUUAUUUAUUUAAAAUCUAAUUCUUCAAAAACCUCAUGUCUUAAUUUAAUUUUUCAAUCCUAAAAAAUUCUACGAUUCGUUAAAAUGUUAUCCUCAUCAAUUAGCAUCAUUAUCCCAUAUCUAUUUAAAGUCCAAUCUUUCGAAAACCUCAUGUCCUAAUUUAACUUUCAAUCCUAGAAAUUUCGUUAUCCGCCUAAAUGUUAUUUUCAGUAGUUAGAAUUAUUAUCAUAUAUCUAUUUAUUUAUUUAAAGUCUAACUCUUCAAAAAUUCAACGUCUUAAUUUAAUUUUUAAUCCUAAAAAUUCCACUACUCAUUUUCUAUUCGUUUAAAAUAUUGUUUUCAUUAAGUAGCAUUAUUAUACCAUAUUAUCUAUUUAAUCUAACCGUUAAAAUUCAAUUCAUCAGAACCCGACUUCCAAAUCUAAUUUCCAACCUCAAAAGCUCCACCGCCCACAUAUCGUCGUUUAAUGAUUAUUUUCGUUAUCAAUGUUAUCCCAUCCACUCGCUUAUUCAGUUAUUCAUAUACCAAAGAUCUCAUCUGUAAAUAAAUUCUUAAGUUUUCAAUCUCUAAAUUCACAUCUUCAAAUCUCUAAAAUUCCAUCUUUCGCAAUUAUUUACCUAAACUCUAUUGUUUCACCAUCGCUAUUUCAUUCCUUUACUUAUUCACUCAUCCACUUAUCCCCUCAUUUAAAAUCCCGAACUUUCAAAUCAUUUUCAAGUUUCCAACCUCGUUCAAAUUUAAUUUCUAAAAAUUCUCAUUCUCACAUUUAAUUCCUGAAAGUCCAAUCUUCAAGUAAACUCUAAAAUCCCAAUUUUCUUUAAAUAACCCUCGGGACUCCAAUAUUUCAAAUGAACUUCAAAAAUCCAAUUUUCUCUCAAAUAGCUUUAAUUCCAUUCUGGCCUUCAAACAAUCUUCUGCUCCUCUUGAUUUUAAUAAGCCUGAAUGAAUUUUCCGUAAUUCCGAAUAAUGGAAUUUAUGGGAUUAAUUCAUGCAAUAUAAAUCGGGCUUUGGUGGGGGCCCAACAUAUGUGAUUUCCUUAUGAUUGAUUGAUUGUUUGCUUGAUUUAAUUAUCAUGCAUGAUUAAUUUUAUUCUACUCUAUGACAUGCUCGAAAUUAUUCCUUAAUUGUGCACUAACCUCACUUCUUGAUAGCGCUUUAUGGAUCACUACCCAGGUACGCAUCCACAUCCGCUCGGGUCAUUUUCUGUAUGCAUGUUUAGAUUCUCACAUGUGCAUGAUCACUCUGAGUAUUCAUUGAUUCCCUCAUCAAUUGUCAUGAUUGCUUCAUUUUAUUAGUAGAGACUCAACUUUAGGGACUUAGAAGGGUGCUACGGUCCUUACCGUACAUUCUUGAUAAGUAACCUGUCCCCCGAACCCGAUCCGGUUUUUCGUAGACCACUUUUUCCAAAUAAGGAGUCACACUUAGGGUUUUUUCUUUCUUAUUUUGUUUACUCUUUUAAAAAUAAAACAAAAAUAAGUGGCGACUCCAAGUCAUCUUUCUAGAAAACACCAUAAAAUCAAAUUUUCAAAUAAAAAAUGCGUUUCACCAUCGAGUGGGAAACGCAUGAGCCGAAAUGCGAGGUCCACACCUUGUUAAAAAUAAAAAUAAUUUUGUAAGAAAUAAAUAUAAGUUAUAGUUUAGAUUAUUUGUUAAAUAUGGGUCACUAUUUGGAUUUCAAAUUAUUUUUAAAGUUACUAAACUUAUUAAUAAAUUAAAUGGAAUAAGUCUUGCUUGAUGUGAAGUCUAUUUGUUUGGUAAAAAAAAAAAAAGGAAAUAUGAUUUCAUGCAAAAAAGAAAAAUAAGUUAUUAUGAAUUAAUUUUUGUCCAUAUAAUUCUUGUAUUAAUUGAAUCAUUAUUUGAGUUCUAAACUAUUUUUAAAAAAUUGUUGGACUGGUUGAUAAAUCCAAUACAUCAAGUUUUACUUGAUUUGAAGUUUAUUUGUCUACUAAACAGAUUUGAAAAAAUAUAAUUAUAUGUAACAAAAAAAACAUUGGAAAGUUAUUCAAAAUUGGAUUAGCUUUUAGUUCCAAGAUUUUCUAAUAUUAUUGGUUUUUUAGUCUUGAAUUGUUUUUAAAAAUUAGAAAACACAAAAAUGUUUUAAAAUUACAUGGUCAAAUAAACUAUUAGACCCUAUUUGACUUUCUGAUUUAAAAAUAGGUAACUAUUUUUAAAAAUUCAUAGCACUUUUUUUUAUGCGAACCUCAAUCAACACGAUUUGAGACCCAACAAAUAGUAUUGGAAUAAUGCCCAAGAAAGCUAAAAUACAAAUUUUUGAUAGAACCCUGACCCAAUGCUUAUAAGUGAAACGCAAACCAAAAGUAUAAGUAACAGACCUUGACCCAAUGAUUACAAUGGAAUCACGAACCAAAGGUAUAAGGUUUGAACGCCACAAGGAAGAAUCUCUGAUAAGUUCACAGUUUUGAAGAACCAAAAGAAGAGCAAAGCCUCACCUUUUCUGAUUUUUUAUUCAAUUAAAAUUAUCCCCCAUUACAAUGAGUGCAUGCUAUUUAUAUGUCAUGAAAAAAACUUAUUAAAUAUUAAAACCCUAAACUAAAAAAGGUACUAAAUAUUAAAACCCUAAAUAAAGGUUGAUUUGGUCAGAAAUUAGCAGAUCCAAAAUAGGAAAAUAGCUAAAAAAACGUUCUAAAUAAUAAAAGCUUAAAAUUAAGGUAGAUUUGGCCUGAAUUUAGAAGCUCUAGAAUAGGAAAUAAUUGAUAUGAAGUUGGAAAGUCAACCAGUCAUUAAUCCAUGCCAUAAAUCAUGCCCAAUCAAGCCAAAUUAGCCCUCAAUAGCUUGGAUUAAAUUUAUUACACAUUCAUCUUCCUUUAGGCCAAACUUGGACUAUCUUGCGUUAGAAUCAAUCCAAAUCUCUUGAAGUAUCCCAUUAAGUUCUUUUUUGAUCUUCUUAGAUCUUGCUUUAGUAAUAAGCCCAAUUGGAACAUGCAAUGGAUCCUUGAAUGCUUGUUGAUUCUCAUCAUUUUUUGUCAUAGUUUUUAUUUCUAAUUUUUAGAAACAAAAGAAAAUAGAGAAUAUUUUUUAAAAGAGAAGUAGAAGUUGUUUUUACUAGUUUAUAAAAACAAAGUAAAAACAUAAAGAAAUUUAAAGAAAAAAAAAUCAUAAAAAGACAAAUAAAAUCGUAUAUGAUAUAUUUCUUUCUCUCUCUAUAGAAAUUGAAAAUCUUCAAAUAUGAUAUUCCUUUGAAUUAUUUAUAUAAAAUUGUAUAUGAUACUUUUCCCAACCACUCCACCCACUCUCUCUCCUUUUUGCCCAUACCACUCACCUAGGAGACUCAUACCCCUUUUCCUUAGGAAUGGCAAUUUUUUGGGUAAUUCGGGUCACCCGCCCCGCCCCGCUCCUACUGGGACGGGUAUGAGAAUAUCCUAUUUGGACAUAGAACAGGUUUGGGGAAUAUAUAAAAACCCGAAUCAGGUUUAGGGCGGGGAUGGGUUUUGCAGUUUCCGCCCCGUCCUGUAUGUGAAUUACCAAUUUACCCUUAUGUCAUUACAAAAUACCCAAAAAGUCUUUCAUAUAUAAUCAUUUCUUCCUCAAGUUUUAGGGUUAUUUCACUCGUGAGAGAGUCAAAGGGCUUUCGCUCUUAGAGGGCUUUCGUUCUCAUUUCUUCCCGUUUUCUCAUUCUUCCUAAAUUGCUCAGGGUUCUUUUGCUUGUAAGAGGCCUUUCGUUUUCUCAUUUCUUCCCAUUUUCUCAUUUAUUCCUGAAUUGUUUCUUCCCGUUUCACCCUAAAAGCACAAUUUUUGCUCUAAAAACCAAACUACCAAAUUCGUAGACAACAAAUUAUUAGGGUUUCUAUGGAUUCCUCAUUUCCAAGUAAGAAAACCCUAAGUUUUGAGGUUUUGUUAGAAAUGUCUUGUUUUUCAUAUUUUCUGGUUUUGGUUGAUGGAUUUGAGAUUUUUUGGGUUGUUUAUUUGUAGAUCUAUGCAUUUUGUUCUUGUAUGUGCAGUUUGCAAUUUUGUUGCACAACAAAUGCUUGAUUAAAUGUGUUUAUGAUAACCCAGAUAACGUUUAUUGAAAUUUCAGAGACCCAUGUUCUGUAAAAGCAUAAUUCCCGAAAAUGCAUUUGGGACAGGGAUGAGAUUAUCAGCUCUUUUGUAAACGGGCAUAGGGAACACCAACUCGCCCCGCCCCGGGUUUGGGACGGGGAUGGGAAAAAACAUAUAUAACCGGGAUGGAAAUGAGGUAAGGGUGGCCCGUCCCAUACUCGCCAUGUUGCUAUCCCUACUUCUCCUCUUUUUUUUUUUUUUUUCUUUUCUUUUCCCAUUUUUUUUUUUUUUUUUUGUUGUUGCUCUUCUUCUUCUUCUUCUUCCACAUUGUCCCAUAGCCUUCUCUCCCUCCCUUUUUCUCCCAUUCUUUUUGCUCACAUUUCUACUCUUCUUUUUUUUUUCCAAAAAAAUCUAUCACUCCUCACCACCGCCAAUAAGACCACCAACCAAUCACCGUCAGUGAACCAUUGCCGACAACCCCCUUCUCUUCUCUCACUUUCUCAUCUCACUCAUUUUCCGUUUUUAUUAUUCAUUUUAUUUUAUUUUCCUUUUUCCUUUUUUUUCUUCUUUCUUUCUUUCUCCCUUUAACUCCAUUGUCGGCCACUUGCCGCCAGCUAACAAUUCCGACAACCCAUAGAUUCUUCAAAAAAAAAAAAUGUGUAAGCCCAUUUAUGUAUUUCUUUAUUUUAUUUUUCUUAUUAUUAUCAUUUUUUUUUUUGUUUGUGAGAUUUGAAUUGUUGAAUUAAUAUGAAAUUUGGGCUUUGUUAAUUAAUAUAGAAUUUAGGUUGUGGAUAUAUUCCAUUUUUUGGUUAAUUUGAGGUAUUUGGAUUAGGCCAAUUCCAUAUUGUUUACCUUAUUUGGACUUACGGCUCAUUGUUUAUUGAUUAUUUAUUUGGCUUAUUGGAUUGGGAUUGAGACCUUAUUUCCUUUGGCCUUGCAUAUUAUUAAUGUGGGCUUGUUAAAUAAUAUGAAACUUGAGCUCAUUUGUUGUGGAUAAAAUUUGUUGGAUUGGAUGAUAAUUGAUAUGAGUUUUAUCCAUUUGAAAUAUGUAAUUGGGGCAUGAGACAAUUGUGGUAUAUUUUGGAUGUUAUUUCGAGUUUACAUAUUAAAUUGGGCUCAAUUAUUUUGGAUUAUGGGAUAUUGAAUUUAGGCCUAAUUGAAUUUGUUUUAAUUAUCAAAUUUUUGGGUUUGGUUGAUUGUGUUUGUAUUUUGGUUAUUAAUUUGAAAUUUUUUUGUUAAGACCUAUAACAUGUGAGAUAUUUCUAUUGAGUUAUAUUUGCUAAUUUAGACUCAUUUUGAUAGACGAAAUUUAUUAGACUAAUUUGAAUUUUGAAUUUGGGUUUGAAUAUUUGUUUGGGAUUUUGUACAUUUUUUUUAUAUUUAUGACAUGUGGAGUAUGAAAUUUUAUGAAAGAAAGUGAGACUCAAAAAGUUGUAUGAAGACAUUGAACUUGUUGUAAGCUUGUUGGGGUAUCCAUUUUAUUUCCCGCUUUUAUUUGGUUUAUUUUUAUUAAUUUUUAUAAAUAUUUGUUUGUGUAUAAUUACUCAUUGUGUACAUAAUUUAAUAUCAAACAAAUCAUAAAUUUUGUUUAAAUAAGAGGAACAAUUCAGUAAACAUGUUUUAAUAAAAUAAUAGUUCAUAAAAUAUUCUUUUUAAUAAAAAUAAGUUUUCAAAAUGUUUUUAGGAAAAUCUAGAAAAUUGUUUUUAAUAAUAAUUGUUUGACAAAAAAUGGUUUUUUAAAUAAAUUCUAUUUUCUUAAUUAGAUAUGAUUAAAAGUAAUUUUUUAUAGAUAAGGGUCUUAAAUAAUUUUUUUAAUAAGAAUGAAAUUUGCAAAUCGAAGUUGUAGAAAUCAUUUUUUAAUAAAAUUGGGUUGAAAAUAUUUUCAUAAACAAAGUUUGUAAAGAAAUUAAUUCAUUUUGUAAAUAAAGAUGUAAAAAUUCAUUCAUUUUUUAAUAAAAACAAAAAAAAAAAUAUUUUUUUUUGUCAAAUUGAAAUUUUGUAAUAAAUUGUUUUGAUAAGAUAAAUGUAUACAACUUUCUUGAAAAGAAAAAUUGAAAACAAAUAAAGAUGAAUAAAAUCAUUUAUUGAAAAUAAAUGGAAAUUUUUUUUUUUUUUGUAAAUAAUUAAAUUGAAAUCAUCAAUUCAAAAUUGUUUUAAUAAAAUCCUUUGAAAUUAAAAAAAAAAAAUCAUUUUUUAAAAUAUAUUUUUUAAUCCAUUCAAUCAAUCAAUUUGCAUAAUUCUUUUGUCAUUUAUUUUGUGUAUUCUUGUAAUUAGAUUUCAUCAUUAUUUUUUUAUAUAUUGAUUUUCACUAUGACUUGUAAAUACUCAUUUAUGUUAUUAUUUUUUUUUUUUGUAUUCAUAAUUAAUUAAUUAAUUUUCACAAUUCCCUUGAUUCGUUUAGUAGAGACCAUAUGUAUACGGGCUUAGAAGAGUGUUACAGCUCACCACCGUACCUUUCCAAUAGGUAACCUAACCCACGGAUCUAGACUCGGUUUUUCAUAAACCUGUUUUUCCUUCAGGAGUCACACUUAGAGUUUUUCUUUUUUAUUUUGUUUUUCCCUUUAAAAAUAAAAUAAAAAUAAGUGGCGAGUCCAAGUCUUUUUUUAAAAUCAUAUUUUCACCAAAUGAAAAGCAAAUCUCGUUGUUGAGUGAGGAUGCACAUGAAAAAUGUGGGUCCAUAGUGUUAUAUUCAUCAACAAGUAUGAUAAUUUAAAAAAUAAAUCAAUUUGAAAAUCAAAUGGUAACCAAUUAAUACAAAAUAUUUAUAGAUAAAAAUUGUUUCACAAAUACUCUAUUAUUUCCUUUUUUUUUACACAUAAUUAUUAUGAAAUUAAGGUCUGGUUAAUCUCGAUUUUGAUGAUAACAAAAUAAGGUUUAGAACUAAUGAUUAUAUUUCAAGUGUGAUUAGGCAAGACGAUUUCCAAAGUGGCAAUCACAAAGACAAAUCAAGCCAAGAAGAAAUCAUAAAGAAGAAAACCACCUCAAAGAGAAGUGUUUUUCAAGACCCAAGCUUCAUAAGAUCUCUUUGUAAGGUUGUUGGUGCACUAGGAUUUUCAUGCUUUACAUUUUUUACUUAUGCACCAAAAUCAUCCCAGAAUUAUUUUGUUUUAAAUAUUUUAAAAUUUGAUGAUUUCAUGUUUUCAACUAAAACCUUGUGUCAAAUGUUUUUCAAACUUGUUUAAAAGGUUUUAAAUUGAAAAAGUUGGUUGUUGAGCCAAAAAUGACUCAAUCGGUUGAACCAAAUGAGGAACCAAUCGACCCCUAGCUCAACCGAUCUAGGAGCAGGUCGACCCCCAGUUCAACCUGUCAAUGGUGUAAACAGUAACCGAUUAACCCCUAACUCAACCGGUCGAGGGGUGCAAAAAACCUUAUCUCUCUUCUAGAAUGGUUGUUCAACUUGAUGAGGAACUGGUCGAGGUCCAACGGUCACCUGCCAAGCAUUAAAUGCUAAUGGUUAGUCAACCGAUCGACCCCCAACUUGACUAAUCAAACCUCCAACGGCUAGUUUGGCUUUUUUCCUCUAUAAAAAGGCUCCAAAUCUUCAUUGUUUAUGAGCUCAACCUUCCCAAACCUUUCUUGAAUAUAUUUGAGCCUUGGAAGAGUGUUUUGAGUGCACCAUUGUUCUAAAACUUGCAUAUCAUUAGUGCAUCAUUCAAUUCUAGUUUUCUUGUAUCAUUUGAGCUUAAAUUUUUGUACUAGGAUAUUGUGAGAUCAAUUAUUUAUAUAACUUUGAGAGGAAGAUUCUCAAGUGUGGGGUAUCACUUAGGAGGUUGUUCAAGAGUGGGGUAUCCCUUGAGAAUUGUAAAGGGUGCUUGGAGUCAAAAGUCCAAAAAAGUGGAUUGGAACCAUAAUCCAAUUGUAUUGCUUGAAGGCUUGGUUUGGAAGCCUUGAAUUAGUGGAACCUCAAGCUUGGGAUUGAAGCUAGAAGAGAGUGAAUGUAGGUCGGGUUGCGCCGAACCACUAUAAAAUCUUGUGUUUGCAUUCUCUCUUCCCUAAUCUUUUACUUUAUAUGCAAUUGUCUUUAUAUUAUUCUGUUUAUAUACUUGCAUAUAAUUGUCUCUUGCAUUCACAUAGCUUAAUUUUGCAAAAAAAGAUCAUCCCCCUAUUCACCGCCCCUCUUUCGGGUGAUUACCAUAGGUUGGAUUAACCCAAUUUUUCUAACAAUUAUAAUAUUACUAUUUACAUUUUUACUAAAAACUAUUUAUUUGUAAAUUAUAAAUUUUUUUUCAUUUUUAAUUACACAUCAAUUAAAUUCAAUUAAUAUAAUUAAUAUUAUGCAAAUUGAAUUUAUAAUACAAAAAUCAAAAUAAAAAAUUAUUUUUAAAAAACAAUCUGCGAAAUAUCCGUAUUUUUGUAAAAUACUUAAAAAGAAUAAAAAAAGAGAAACUCUAUUUUCUUUUUAUAAACUUAAAAACAGUUUUUUUUUUAAAACAAACAUUACAAAACAUGGUCACUCGGGUCUUGAGGCCUCUAUCAACAUGUUUUGUUUGUUUUGUUUCCUUUAUUGCCCAAUUUUUGUGUAAGCUCUAAAUAAUGCCUCUUUCAAUCCUUUCCAAUUCCUCUGUUCGUGCACACUUUUUUUUUUUUUUAUGUUGCCAUGUAGGCAACAGUAUAGUUCUUGAUCCCCCAAUCAGAGAAAACUAAAAAAUUAUACAUAAUUCUUUGCUCCACUACUAAUGCAUUACAUCAAUAUCUGUCAUUAAUUAACUCUUACCACACAAAUUUUAUGCAGCAAUUGCCAUGAUUUUUGUACACUAAGAUCACAUACCAACCCCUGCACAUGCAUACACAUUGCUUUUAUUGAGAGAAUGGUUUCACACAUUUGAAUGUGGCAACAUUGGGAAGCAUCUUCAUUGUUUCAUUGCUUCAAUAAAGGUUUUGAAAUUUCUGUAAGAAGAUCCGCCUUCGCUUACACUCUUUCUAGCCAUUUCCUUCAACUUCUCUGCAUUUGCUUUUAUACCAUCAUCAGAGACCAACUUUUCAAUCUUCAUCUUAAUCUCAUGCCUCGAUAUGAAUCCAUUUUUAUCUGGGUUCAACCCCAAGCCCACCUUCCAUUUCUCGCAUAUGUAACUCUGGUUAUGGAAUUGAUCUCCUAAGUAGGGCCAGCAUAGGAAGGGGACUCCCAUGCCUAUGCCGCCCAUGGUUGAGUUCCAUCCACAAUGGGAAAAGAAACAUGCAACAGAAGGGUGAGCUAAAACCUCUUCUUGGGGUGCCCAUGAAACAAUCUUUCCAUGGUCAGCUACUCUCUCUAUGAAACCAUCUGGGUAUUCAGCAGCUGAUUCAUCGGUGAAGUCUGAUCGGACAACCCAUAAAAAUGGCCGCCCUACAAGUUCAAUGCCAAGUGCUAAUUCAUUGAAUUGGUGCUGGGUUAAGAUUGUAAAGCUGCCAAAGGCAACAUAAAUGACUGAGCCAGCAGGUUGUUUAUCGAGCCAGCCUAUGCAAGUUGAAUCCUCAGGCCAAAAGUUUGCAGCAUAAUGACCCGGAUCACUACUUGCAAGUAACGGGCCAAUUGGUAAUAAGUUAGGAAUCAAGUCACAAGCAGAUGAGUCAAGUUCGUAAACACAGUUGCAAAGAAGCCACUUGGAAGAAUCCAUAAUUUGAAUAGAUGUGAGAUAAAGUCGGAAAACCGACUCUUGUAUCUUUAGAUCAAUUGGCCACUGCCAGGGCAAGCUGUUGCUGCUCAAGACUGGAAUACCCUUCGACACGCAGAUCAACUCAUCAUUCAGAGGAGAUCCUGCAGAGAUAUUUGAAUCGUUUCUAUCAAAACCAAGAAAUUUCUUAGACAACAAAUUAAUUUUAGAAAUAUGAUAUAAAUUAACAAGUUGAAGCCUUAAUACCAUCAGUACUAUUUACGAUUCCGGCCUCAAUUAGUUUUGGAAUAUGAAGUGCCAAAGCCCAGAUUCCUGCUCCCAUAGGACAAAAAGGGACCCCUUCGAUUCCCAUCUUCUCUGCCACCUCCAUUGGCCACCGCUCAAGUGUUAUGUCAGCAAUAACACAAGUGAUCUGCUCAUCAUCAUUCGAGUGGUUUACUUUCUCAAUUAAAUCCUUCAAAUGACCCGGCAUGACUCUUGAAAUACUUUCUGUUAACUUGAGCAUGUUUUUCCGAUCGUCCCCUGGAUCCAGACCAUCUGGGAUAGAGGCUAGCCCUAUCCCACUCCGAGCCUCAGCUUCAUGUGGGAGUGCAGCCAGCAGUUUAGCAUGUAUGAAGUCAGAGUUCACAAAGGUGACCUUGAUCCCAUGAUCAGAAAUCCGGUGUGCAAGCUUCAUAAGAGGAGCAACAUGUCCUUGCGCUGGGAGCGGUAUAAUCAGCACAUGAGGUCGCCUGCCCAUGGUCCUUGCUAACUUGCCAACACUUCCACCCUUCUCUUUGUUCUGAUCCCAAGCUUCACUAGUACUGAUACUGUUUUAUUAGCCUGAGCCCUCCAUGGAACUGUAUUUAUGAAUUUUAUACCUAUUGCCCUCCUAAUUGAGGUGCAAAACUUUUGUCCCUUUCAAAAAACAAAGGGAAUAUGAAGUCCUCGCUAGCUUUUUCAACAAUGAAAACUAGUGGAAGUUCACCGACACUAGAGAUGGAAAACCCUCGUCUCAGAAAUGCAAGGAAAGGGAAGACCGUCCGCCCACACAUAUGCUUCCACAGCUUCGCAAAACAUAGCCCUAGCUGCUGCAUUAUUGGCCUUAGAAACCAGCCGCCAGACCAGCCCAACACGUGGUUUUGAAAAAAAAUUCUUCCCUGGGCUGGAACCCAUAUACGGGCGGCAAGCCCAACAAAGUCCAUCUCUGAUUUAUGAAUUUCUUUUAUUAUCUCAAAGCUAUGGGUUUGUGGGUCUGGCCCACACUUAUUGUGGUGUAAUCUGCUACGUGGUUAAUUUGUCUAUAUAGUGUCCUCUAUGGCUCUGGAAGCAUAUUUAAGAAUUUCAUUUAAUUGGCUGCCUUUCAUCUCACAGUUUUAUAUGACUGUUAACGUUUAAGACAAAUACGUAUCACUGUUGUGACUAAGCUUCUCAGGCAGUUUUUUCUUCUUUUCUAGUGUUGCUUAUGCAUCAAGAUAUAUAUCUUUUGUUUUAUAUGAUGAGGAAGUCAUCAUCACGUUUUUCCUUUGUCUUUUACAUACAAACUCUUAUGUAGCUUGAAUCUCGUCUUUUGUAUCAUCAGCUGUAUUUGUCUGUUUCUGUUAUUAAUAAGCCUGUAUUGAUGUUGCUGAGCCCUCCCUUCUACUGUAUUUGUGUAUUUCAUACAUUAUCUAAAAGCUAAAGUCUCUGAUUAUCUUGGUAUUUUGUCUUUUUUGCCACUUGUCUUGGUAUUUUGUCUUUAUAAAGUGUCUUAUGUAGCUCUCCAUUGCCACUUAUCAAAAGUCUCAUUAAAAUAUCAUUUUUGCUCUCAUACCAAGUUGAAAUCCAAAAAAAGAUUCAAAGAGAAAAAGAUUGAGAAAAAAAAUUAGGAUUUCUUAUUAUAAAUUCUCUUAAAAAUAACUCUAACACCAUUAGAAUUUAAAUAAACCUAAUAAAAGAAAAUAAAUAUUAUUUUACUCUUACUUCUAAAAAAAAAAAAAAAUUCUAAUGUUGUAACUAAAUAUAUAAUAACUAAAUAGUAUAUAAUUCUAAUAUAUUAACUAAAUAUAUUAGUAACUUCUAACACCUUUUACCAUUGGAUGUUGUGAACGGGCCAUUUUAAAUAAUAUUUCUUUGAUGUGAUAAUGAGUUUGAUAUUUUAGUAAAAUAUAGUCGGACUUAUUUUGGUUCUUUGAUUAUAAACUAACAUUUGGUGAUACUCCAAAUGCAAUAUUUGAGUGUAUUAUUUUUUGCUAUGAGUAUUUUAAAUUAUGGUUAGAUCUUAGAGGUCUUUUUCAUAAGUAUAAUUGAUUAUAAUAUUAUUGUAAGACAUUUGAUAAAACCUAAUACAUAAUACUUAAUGAUUUAAGAUGAGUUUAAGUUAAAUUAUAUUUAAGUUAUUAAAUUAAUAGAGCAAAUUAAUGUCUUCAAAUUAUUUUUAAUUUUAAGUUACAAUAUUUAUUAUGAUUAAUAAUUUAUGUGAUAAUUAGGUCUUUAAGAUAAUGUAUCUAAUAAAUUUCUUUUACUUAGAUAAUCUUAUGAGGAGCAAACCUUGGCAUUCACUCUCACCCUUUUACAAAGCUUUACUUUCUUGAUUUUCCAAGGGUGCUAUCGUUGAAACAUGACGGUUUUGGAGGCUAUGUUGUUGAAUGUCCCAAAACCAUAUUGGAUUAGUUUCACUAUCACUUAGAACCCUUGGGUUAGAGCCCAUUUGACCAUAUACUAUACUUAUUUUUAGAAAUUGUCUUGAAGUUAAAAAAAAAAUAUAGUUUUUAUUUUCUAAAAACAAUGGUGUUUAGCAACUUUGUUUUUAAAUACACUUUUAAAAAAAUAAAAAACAAAAAUUUGUUUGGAUUUUUUUUUUUAAUAUUCUGAUUUUAUAAAAAAAAAAAUCAUAGACUUAAUGUAUAUAAUAUUAAUUAAAUUUAAUUCAUGCCUUGGUAAAAAUAAAAAUAAUUUUGUACUUAGAAAUAAAUCAUAUACAUGUAUAGUUUUUAGUAAAAUAUGAGUAGUAAUAAUAUUAUAGUAAAAUUAUAAGUUAUAUUUUUUGGUAACAAAAUAUACUAUUUUAGUAUAUGUUAUAAAAUUAUGGACAUUAAUAUUUUCAUAAAAGCAUUUUUUUUUUCAAAAUAAAUAAUUUGUUUUUAUAUUAUUUGUUAAAUAUGGGUCACUAUUUGAAUUUCAAAUUAUUUUUAAAAGUUACUAAACUUAUUAAUAAAUUAAAUGGAAUAAGUCUUGGUUGAUUUGAAGUAUAUUUGUGUGAAAAAAAAUAGAAGGAAAUAUGAUUUUAUGAAGAAAAGAAAAAUGAGUUAUUAUGAAUUAAUUUUUGUCCAUAUAAUUCUUGUAUUAAUUGAAUCAUUAUUUGAGUUUUAAACUAUUUUUAAAAUUUUUGUACUCGUUGAUAAAUCCAAUACAUCAAGUUUUACUUGAUUUGAAGUUUAUUUGCCUACUAAACAGAUUUGAAAAAAUAUAAUUAUAUGUCAAAAAAAUAAAAAUAAAACUUAGGAAAGUUAUUCAAAAUUGGAUUAGCUUUUAGUUCCAAGAUUUUCUAAUAUUAUUGGUUUUUUAGUCUUGAAUUAUUUUUAAAAUUUUGAAAACACAAAAAUGUUUUAAAAUUACAUGGUCAAACAAACUAUUAGGCCCAAUUUGACUUUGUGAUUUAAAAAUAGAUAACUAUUUUUAAAAAUUCAUAGUAAUGUUUUGGUCAUUGUUUUUAUUUCCAAUUUUUAGAAACAAAAGAAAAUAGAGAAUAGUUUUAAAAAGAGAAGUAGAAGAUAUUUUUACUAGUUUUUAAAAACAAAGUAAAAACAUAAAGAUAUUUAAAGAAAAAAAUCAUAAAAAAAACAAAUAAAAUUAUAUAUAACAUCUUUCUUUCUCUCUAUGGAAAUUGAAAAUCUUCAAAUAUGAUAUUCCUUUGAAUUAUUUGUAUAAAAUUGUAUAUGAUACUUUUCCCAACCAUUCCACCCACUCUUUCUCUCUUGUUUAUACCCUUCACUGCCCCACAUCCUUCUCUUCCUCCCUUUUUCUCUCAUUCUUUUUGCUCACAUUUCUACUCUUCCUUUUUUUUUUCUUUUUUUCUUUUUUUUUUUUGUUUUCCAAAAAUCUAUCACUCCUCACCGCCACCGGCAGGACCACCAACCAAUCAUCGUCGAUGAGCCAUUGCCAGCAACCCCCUUCCCUUCUAUCACUUUCUCAUCUCACCCAUUUUCCCUUUUUAUUAUUCAUUUUAUUUUGUUUUCCUUUCUCUCUUUUUUUUUCUUCUUUCUUUCUUUCUCUCUUUAACUCCACUAUCGGCCACCCGCCGCCAUCUAACAAUUCCAGCAAGCCAUAGAUUCUUCAACAACAAAAAAAAAAUUGUGUAAGCCCAUUUAUGUAUUUCUUUAUUUUAUUUUUCUUAUUAUUGUCAUUUUUUUUUUUGUUUGUGAGAUUUGAAUUGUUGAAUCAAUAUGAAAUUUGGGCUUUGUUAAUUAAUAUAGAAUUUAGGUUGUGGAUAUAUUGCAUUUGUUGGUUAAUUUAAGAUAUUUGGAUUAGGCCAGUUGCAUAUUGUUUACCUUAUUUGGACUUGCGGCCCAUUGCUUAUUGGUUAUUUAUUUGGGCUUAUUGGAUUGGGCUUGAGACCUUAUUUCCUUUAGCCUUGUAUAUUAUUAAUGUGGGCUUGUUAAAUAAUAUGAAACUUGAGCUCAUUUGUUGUGGAUAAAAUUUGUUGGAUUGGAUGAUAAUUGAUAUGAGUUUUAUCCAUUUGAAAUAUUUAAUUUAGACAUGAGACAAUUAUGGUAUAUUUUGGAUAUUAUUUCGAGUUUACAUAUUAAAUUGGGCUCAAUUAUUUUGGAUUAUAGGAUAUUGAAUUUAGGUCUAAUGGAAUUUGUUUUAAUUAUCAAAUUUUUGGGUUUGGUUGAUUGUGCUUGUAUUUUGGUUAUUAAUUUGAAAAUUUUUUGCUAAGACCUAUAACAUAUGAGAUAUUUUUAUUGGGUUAUAUUUACUAAUUUGGGCUCAUUUUGAUUGAUGAAAUUUAUUGGACUAAUUUGAAGUCUAAAUUUGGGUUUGAAUAUUUGUUUGGAAUUUUGUACAUUUCUGGAUAUUUAUAUUUGAGCUAUUUUUGUUUUUGCAUAGACCCAUUCUUCAAUUUUAUUUUCCAUUUUUAUUUGAUUUAUUUUUAUUAGUUUUUGUAAAUGUUUGUUUGUAUAUACUUACUCAUUGUGUACAUAAUUGAAUAUCGAAAAAACAAAAAAAAAUUAUUUAAAUAAGAGGAACAAUUCAUUAAACAUGUUUUAAUAAAACAAUAGUUCAUAAAAUAUUUCUUUGAAUAAAAAUAAGUUUUCAAAAUGUUUUUAGGAAAAUUUAGAAAAUCGUUUUUAAUAAAAUAAAAAAAAUUGUUUUUAAUAAUAAUUGUCUCAAAAUUGUUUUGUAAAUAAAGUUAUCCCAAAAUUCAUUUUUAAUAAAAUUGUCCAAAAAUGUUUUUUUAAAUAAAUUAUAUUUCCUUAAUUAGAUAGGAUUAAAAGUAUUUUUUUAUAGAUAAGGGUCUUAAAUAAUUUUUUUAAUAAGAAUGAAAUUUGCAAAUCAAAGUUGUAGAAAUCAUUUUUUUUUAAUAAAAUUGGGUUGAAAAUAUUUUCAUAAACAAAGUUUGUAAAGAAAUUAAUUCCUUUUGUAAAUAAUGUUGUAAAAAAUCAUUCAUUUUUUUAAUAAAAGCAAAUAAAAAUAAUUUUUGUUGCCAAAUUGAAAUUUAUAAUAAAUUGUUCUGAAAAGAUAAAUGUAUACAACUUUCUUGAAAAGAAAAAUUGAAAACAAAUAAAGUUGAAUAAAAUCAUUUAUUGAAAAUGAAUAGAAACUUUUUUUGUAAAUAAUUAAAUUGAAAUCAUUAAUUCCAAAAUUGUUUUAAUAAAAUCCUUUAAAUCUUUUUUAAAAAAAAUCAUUUUUUUAAAUAUCCUUUUUUAAUCCAUUCAAUAAAUCAAUUUGUAUAAUUCUCUUAUCAUUUAUUUUGUAUAUUUUUUUAAUUAGAUUUCAUCAUUAUUUUUGUGUAUAUUGAUUUUCACUAUGACUUGUACAUACUCAUUUAUGUGAUUAUAUUUCUUGGUAUCCAUAAUUAAUUAAUUAAUUAAUUGUUACAAUUCUCUUUAUUCGUUUAGGAGAGACCGCAUGUAUAUAGGCUUAGAGGAGUGUUACAGCUCACCACCGUACCUUCCAAAUAGGUAACUUGACCCCCAAACCCAGACUCGGUUUUUCACAAACCUAUUUUUCCUUCAGGAGUCAUACUUAAGGUUUUUUUUUUUUUUCUUAUUUUGUUUUUCCCUUUAAAAAUAAAAUAAAAAUAAUUGACAACUCCAAGUCUUUUCUAAAAAUCAUAUUUUUCACCAACUGAAAAGCAAAUCUCAUCGUUGAGUGAGGAUGCACAUAAAAAAUGCAGGUCCACAGUGUUAUAUUCAUCAAGAAGUAUGAUAAUUUAAAAAAUAAAUUAAUUUGAAACUCAAAUGGUAACCAAUUAAUACAAAAUAUUUAUAGAUGAAAAUUCUUUCACAAAUACUCUAUUAUUUCUUUUUUUUUUUAACACAUAAUUAUAUUUUAAAAAAUUUUAUCAUUUGAUAAAUGAAUUUCAAAUCAAACAACACUUUGUAUUAAAUUUAUUAAUGAGUUUAAUAAUUUUUAAAAAUAAUUUAAAACUACAAAAAUUGAUAUAAUCACUAUAAAAAAUAAUAGACUAAAACUUAUGCAUAAUGAAUUAUGACUUUCCUUUUUCUCUUACAAACACAAUUAUAUUUUUUGAUUUUUUUUCGCCAGUUAAAAGCAUUCUAAAUUGAGAUAUAAUUAAUAAUGUAAAUUCUUUAAUGAAUUUUCUAAUUUUUAAAAAUAAUUAAGAAUUCAAAAGAUCGAUCUAAUUAAUUGCAUAUUAAAUCAAAGCACCAUAGAAAACUCCGUUCAAAAUUAAGUACAUAUGUGCAUGUAAUGAAAACUUUGCUCAUUCACAUGUUAAACAAGUUAAACUUUAUUUGUUUUGGAAUUUAUAUAUAUAUAUAUAUAUAUAUAUAUAUAUAUAUAUAUAUAUAUAUAUAUAUAUAUAUAUAUUAAUUUUGGGAUGAUAUUGCUAUUUAUAUUUUUACUAAAAACUAUUUAUUUGUAAUUAUAAAAUUAUUUUCAUUUUUAAUUACACAUCAAUUAAAUUCAAUUAAUAUAAUUAAUGUUAUGCAAAUUGAAUUUAUAAUAUUUUACAAAAAUCAAAAUAAAAAUUAUUUUUUAAAAAAAAAAAUUUGCCAAAUAUCCGUAUUUUUGUAAAAUACUUAAAAAAAUAAAAUAAAAUAAAAUCUAUUUUCUUUUUUUAAACUUAAAAACAGUUUUUUUUAAACCAAACAUUACAAAACAGGGUCACUCGGCGGGUCUUGAGGCCUCUAUCAACAUGUUUUGUUUAUUUUGUUGCCCAAUUUUUGUGUAAGCUCUAAAUAAUGCCACUUUCAAUCCUUUCCAAUUGCUCUGUUCCUGCACUUUUUUUAAAUGUUGCCAUGUAGACAACAGUAUAGUUCUUGAUCCCCCAAUCAAAGAAAACUCAAAAAUUAUACAUAAUUCUUUGCUCCACUACUAAUGCAUUACAUCAGUAUCUGUCAUUAAUCAACUCUACCACACAAAUUUUAUGCAGCAAUUGCCAUGAUUUUUGUACACUAAGUGUUGUGCCAGCGAAAGCUUUGAUGCCAACGAUGUUAGUUCAAGAACACAAAGAUAAAACAAUCACACAUACGGUACACGAGGUUUUAACGUGGUUCGGCCAACCAUGCCUACGUCCACGGAUGAGAGAGAAUAAUUCCACUAUACAAUAGAGAAUAUUACAGAGGAUAGAACCAGAUACAAUUAUUGGGUUCCCGAAACAUCCCAUGUUUCCCCACUCCUUGUAUCCAUACCUUAUUACGAGCCCUCUCGCUCCACCAGGUACCUCCCGUUCUUCCUCACAUCUCUAUCCACCUCGUAUAGUCUCUAUAGGCCCAUCUCCAUCUCAUAACUUUUUCCCCUCAUGACCUAGAAUAUUUAUAGAGAUAUUUCCAACAACCUUCCUUAUUCUAUAAGGAAGUCUAAUAUUACAAUAAUAUAUCCACCUAGAAAUAUUCUAUAUAAUAUUCUUUACAAAAAAAGGAAUCUAUACUAAUUAGGAAUUUGGGACACUUCCUAACAAUCUCCACCUUGGACCAAAUUACAUGAAGUUAAUCUUCAAUCUCUCCAUGACACAAACCUUUUUGUAUCAUAUCACCACGAAAUAGCAAUCAACUCCACCUUCAGUGAAAAUUCCUUUUGUUUUCAUCUUGUGUGCUUUGUGAUCUUUUACUCUUCCAGAAAUCUUCAACCCAAGCUCUGAUACCAAUUGUUGUGCCAGCGGAAGCUUUGAUGCUAACGAUGUUAGUUCAAGAACAUAAAGAUAAAACAAUCACACAUACGGUACACGAGGUUUUAACGUGGUUUGGCCAACCAUGCCUACGUCCACGGAGUUGCAGGGAUAUCACUAUUAUCAGGGAAGAAUACAGAGUACAACCUGGCGGCUACAAUAUUCUCUAUAUAUAUAUAGCACGGCAACCCUACCAUACUAAAAAACCCUAAUUACAAAAUGUGGUUCCACAAUGGGCUAAAUGGGCCCAACAGGCCUCAAUAAAUCUCCCAUUAAAAAAGCCAUGCAAUAUUAUUCGGGUCGGGUCAUCAAACCGGAUCAAACAAAACUAGGCUCCACAAAGCCCAACAAAUCUCCCACUUGGAGACUAGUCCAAUCACCAACAUCAAACCGCUAUCCUCCAAGAAACGAUCCCUUAUCCUUACAACUCAUCCUCCUGUCCUCAAGCUAGAAGACCAAUUGAAGCUGCGCACAGCUUCAACUUCUCAUANNNNNNNNNNNNNNNNNNNNNNNNNNNNNNNNNNNNNNNNNNNNNNNNNNNNNNNNNNNNNNNNNNNNNNNNNNNNNNNNNNNNNNNNNNNNNNNNNNNNCAUGACACAAANCUUUUGUAUCAUAUCNCACGAAAUAGCAAUCAACUCCACCUUCAGUGAAAAUUCCUUUGUUUUCAUCUUGUGUGCUUUGUGAUCUUUUACUCUUCCAGAAAUCUUCAACCCAAGCUCUGAUACCAAUUGUUGUGCCAGCGGAAGCUUUGAUGCUAACGAUGUUAGUUCAAGAACAUAAAGAUAAAACAAUCACACAUACGGUACACGAGGUUUUAACGUGGUUUGGCCAACCAUGCCUACGUCCACGGAGUUGCAGGGAUAUCACUAUUAUCAGGGAAGAAUACAGAGUACAACCUGGCGGCUACAAUAUUCUCUAUAUAUAUAUAGCACGGCAACCCUACCAUACUAAAAAACCCUAAUUACAAAAUGUGGUUCCACAAUGGGCUAAAUGGGCCCAACAGGCCUCAAUAAAUCUCCCAUUAAAAAAGCCAUGCAAUAUUAUUCGGGUCGGGUCAUCAAACCGGAUCAAACAAAACUAGGCUCCACAAAGCCCAACAAAUCUCCCACUUGGAGACUAGUCCAAUCACCAACAUCAAACCGCUAUCCUCCAAGAAACGAUCCCUUAUCCUUACAACUCAUCCUCCUGUCCUCAAGCUAGAAGACCAAUUGAAGCUGCGCACAGCUUCAACUUCUCAAUAGUGACACCCUUAGUCAACAUGUCUACAGGGUUCUUAGAUCCACAAAUCUUCUCAAGUAUUACCAGUUUAUCCUCAACAAGAUAACUGAUAAAGUGGUAUUUUGUUUGUAUAUGUUUCGACUUUGAAUGAAAAGCCGAAUUUUUGGCAAGAAAAAUUGCACUCUGACUGUCACUGUGUAGAAUGCCCAUCUCCUGCUUCUUACCCAAUUCAUCUAAGAAACCAUGUAGCCAAAUCAUCUCCUUUCCAGCUUCAAUUGCUGCAACAUACUCAGCUUCUGUAGUAGACAAAGUAACAAUCUUCUGUAGAUUUGAAGUCCAUGAUAUAGUUGUACCACCUAGAGUAAAAACAAACCCAGUAGUACUCUUUCUACUAUCAAUAUCACCAGCAAAAUCAGCAUCUACAUAACCCUGCAGUUUCNNNNNNNNNNNNNNNNNNNNNNNNNNNNNNNNNNNNNNNNNNNNNNNNNNNNNNNNNNNNNNNNNNNNNNNNNNNNNNNNNNNNNNNNNNNNNNNNNNNNCCCGUGAGAAACAAAAAAUAUUAGAGAAAAUACACGCCAAAGAAAAAACAAUCACACACAAGACAAUAUUUACGUGGUUCGGCAAUUUGCCUACGUCCACGGAGUUGCAGGGAUAUCACUAUUAUCAGGGAAGAAUACAGAGUACUACAUGGCGGCUACAAUAUUCUCUAUAUAUAUAUAGCACGACAACCCUACCAUACUAAAAAACCCUAAUUACAAAAGGUGGUUCCACAAUGGGCUAAACGAGCCCAACAGGCCUCAAUAAAUCUCCCAUUAAAAAAGCCAUGCAAUAUUAUUCGGGUCGGGUCGUCAAACCGGAUCAAACAAAACUAGGCUCCACAAAGCCCAACAAAUCUCCCACUUGGAGACUAGUCCAAUCACCAACAUCAAAUCGCUAUCCUCCAAGAAACAAUCCCUCAUCCCUACAACUCAUCCUCCUUUCCUCAAGCUAGAAGACCAAUUGAAGCUGCGCACAGCUUCAACUUCUCAAUAGUGACACCCUUAGUCAACAUGUCUGCAGGGUUCUUAGAUCCACAAAUCUUCUCAAGUAUUACCAGUUUAUCCUCAACAAGAUAACGGAUAAAGUGGUAUUUUGUUUGUAUAUGUUUCGACUUUGAAUGAAAAGCCGAGUUUUUGGCAAGAAAAAUUGCACUUUGACUGUCACUGUGUAGAAUGCCCAUCUCCUGCUUCUUACCCAAUUCAUCUAAGAAACCAUGUAGCCAAAUCAUCUCCUUUCCAGCUUCAGUUGCUGCAACAUACUCAGCUUCUGUAGUAGACAAAGUAACAAUCUUCUGUAGAUUUGAAGUCCAUGAUAUAGUUGUACCACCUAGAGUAAAAACAAACCCAGUAGUACUCUUUCUACUAUCAAUAUCACCAGCAAAAUCAGCAUCUACAUAACCCUGCAGUUUCAAACUUGCACCUGUGAAGCAAAGACAUGUAUCUAAUGAACCCUUCAGAUAUCUUAAAAUCCACUUGACUGCCUCCCAAUGCUGCUUUCCAGGCCUACUCAUGAAUCUGCUCACAACUCCCACUGCAUGUGCAAUGUCUGGCCUUGUACACACCAUAGCAUACAUCAAGCUGCCAAUAACUGAGGCAUAGGGCACCUUGCUCAUACACACCAAUGCUGCUUUAGUGACUGUUCUUUGCUUAGUUUGAAAUGACUACCCAAGGGUGUGCUCACUGGUUUAGCUUCAUUCAUGUUGAACCUGCUGAGAACUUUCUUCACAUACUCUGACUGUGAAAGCUUCAAUGUACCAUUAGCCUUGUCUCUAAUGAUUCUCAUACCAAGGAUUUGCUUUGCAGCUCCCAAAUCCUUCAUUGCAAACUGUUUGGACAAUUGCUUCUUCAGAUUAUUAAUCUUCUCAAUGUUAGACCCUGCAAUAAGCAUAUCAUCCACAUACAAUAGUAAUAUGAUAUAAGAAUUGUCAAAGGACUUAAAAUAGCAACAGUGAUCAGCUUCACAUUUCUUGAACCCAAUUCUAUGCAUAAAAUUGUCAAACUUCUUGUACCACUGUCUAGGAGCUUGUUUAAGGCCAUACAAGCUCUUUCUCAGUUUGCAGACUAGAUUCUCUUGUCCCUGAACAAUGAACCCUUUUGGUUAAAUCAUGUAAAGGUCUUCCUCCAAGUCACCAUGAAGGAAUGCUGUCUUCACAUCUAACUGCUCAAGAUGUAAGUUUUCUGCAGCCACCAUUCCAAGUACAAGUCUAAUUGUUGACAUCUUCACAACUGGAGAAAAUAUCUCUGUGUAGUCAAUGCCCUCCUUCUGCUGGAACCCUUUAACAACUAAUCUGGCCUUGUAACGUUUGCUACCAUCAUGCUCAUUCUUUAUUCUGUAUACCCACUUGUUGUGCAAAGCCUUCUUUCCUACUGGCAAUUCAGUCAGUUCCCACGUCUGAUUCCCCAAUAGGGAAUCCAUCUCAUCCUUCAUGGCUAACUCCCACUUGCUUGAAUUCUCAUCUUGCAAGGCUUCAUCAUAACACUCUGGCUCACCACCAUCAGUCAACAGGAGAUAAUUUAAAACAGGUGAAUAACGUUGCGGAGGUCUAAUGUUCCUGGAAGAUCUGCGAACUUCAGCUACAGGUGUACUCAAAUCUACCUGUGAAUUUACAUUCAUUCUCCUUAUCUUCUUCACCCCCUUUUUGGACAGUACUUUCAGUCAAUUCAUCUAAGUUGACAAACUCAGAUUUCUUUUGAUCUAUCUCUGUAACAUCUGACGUUACAGUUGACCUAUCCUUGUACAUAACCUGUUCAUUAAAUAUCACAUUUCUACUUCUGAUGAUUUUCCUGUUUUGUUCAUCCCAAAACCUAUAGCCAAAUUUCUCAUUGCCAUAGCCAAUGAAAAAACAUAUUUUUGACUUUGCAUCAAGUUUACUACGAGCAUCAGAAUCAAUAUGAACAUAAGAAACACAACCAAAAACUUUUAAAUGUGAAAACUUCACCUCUUUACCGCUCCAAACCUCCUCAGGAAGUCUGAACUCCAUGGGAACUGAUGGUCCUCGGUUUAUCAGGUAAGCUGCAGUGCUAACAGCAUCAGCCCAAAAAGUUUUUGGUAGUCCAGCAUGCAACCUCAUACUUCUAGCACGCUCAUUGAGAGUUCUAUUCAUGCGCUCAGCCACACCAUUUUGCUGUGGUGUCCCAGGAAUGGUCUUCUCCANNNNNNNNNNNNNNNNNNNNNNNNNNNNNNNNNNNNNNNNNNNNNNNNNNNNNNNNNNNNNNNNNNNNNNNNNNNNNNNNNNNNNNNNNNNNNNNNNNNNGGACCAAAUUACAUGAAGUUAAUCUUCAAUCUCUCCAUGACACAAACUUUUUGUAUCAUAUCACCACGAAAGAGCAAUCGACUCCACAUUCAGUGAAAAUUCCUUUUGUUUUCAUCUUGUGUGCUUUGUGAUCUUUUACUCUUCCAGAAAUCUUCAACCCAAGCUCUGAUACCAAUUGUUGUGCCAGCGGAAGCUUUGAUGCCAACGAUGUUAGUUCAAGAACACAAAGAUAAAACAAUCACACAUACGGUACACGAGGUUUUAACGUGGUUCGGCCAACCAUGCCUACGUCCACGGAUGAGAGAGAAUAAUUCCACUAUACAAUAGAGAAUAUUACAGAGGAUAGAACCAGAUACAAUUAUUGGGUUCCCGAAACAUCCCAUGUUUCCCCACUCCUUGUAUCCAUACCUUAUUACGAGCCCUCUCGCUCCACCAGGUACCUCCCGUUCUUUCUCACAUCUCUAUCCACCUCGUAUAGUCUCUAUAGGCCCAUCUCCAUCUCAUAACUUUUUCCCCUCAUGACCUAGAAUAUUUAUAGAGAUAUUUCCAACAACCUUCCUUAUUCUAUAAGGAAGUCUAAUAUUACAAUAAUAUAUCCACCUAGAAAUAUUCUAUAUAAUAUUCUUUACAAAAAAAGGAAUCUAUACUAAUUAGGAAUUUGGGACACUUCCUAACACUAAAAUCACAUACCAACCUCUGCACAUGCAUACACAACAUGAAUGCAUUUGCUUUUAUUGAGAGAAUAGUUUCACACAUUUGAAUGUGGCAACAUUGGGAAGCAUCUUCAUUGUUUCAUCGCUUCAAUAAAGGUUUUGAAAUUCUUGUAAGAAGAUCCGCCUUCGCUUACACUCUUUCUAGCCAUUUCCUUCAACUUCUUUGCAUUUGCUUUUAUACCAUCAUCAGAGACCAACUUUUCAAUCUUCAUCUUAAUCCCAUGCCUUGAUAUGAAUCCCUUUUCAUCUGGGUUCAACCCCAAGCCCACCUUCCAUUUUUUGCAUAUGUAACUCUGGUUAUGGAAUUGAUCUGCGAAGUAGGGCCAACAUAGGAAGGGAACUCCCAUGCUUAUGCUGUCCAUGGUUGAGUUCCAACCACAAUGGGAAAAGAAACAUGCAACAGAAGGGUGAGCUAAAACCUCUUCUUGGGGUGCCCAUGAUACAAUCUUUCCAUGGUCAGCUACUCUCUCAAUGAAACCAUCAGGGUAUUCAGCAACUGAUCCAUCGGUGAAGUCUGAUCGGACAACCCAUAAAAAUGGCCGGCCUACAAGUUCGAGACCAAGUGCUAGUUCAUUGAAUUGGCGCUGGUUGAAGAUUGCUAAGCUGCCAAAGGCAACAUAAAUGACUGAGCCAGCAGGUUGUUUAUCGAGCCAGCCUAUGCAGGUCGAAUCCUCAGGCCAAAAGUUUCCAGCAUAAUGACCCAGAUGAUGACUUGCAAGUAAUGGACCUAUUGAUAAUAUGUUAGGAAUCAACUCACAGGCAGAUGAGUCAAGUUCAUAAACAAAGUUGCUGAGAAGCCACUUGGAAAAAUCCAUUUUUUGAAUAAUUAUGAGAAGAGUUCGGAAAAUGGUCUCUUGUAUCUUUGGAUCAAUUGGGCAGCACCAGGGCAAUCUGUUGCUGCUAAAGACUGGGAUAUCCUUUGACAGGCAGAUCAACUCGUCAUUCAGAGGAGAUCCUGCAGAGAUAUUUGAAUUAUUUCCAUCAAAACAAAGAAAUUUCUCAAUACUUCCCUGGUAUCAACAACAAAUUAAUUUUAGAAAAAGUUGAAGCCUUAAUACCGUUAGUGCUAUGUAUGAUUCUGUUAGCAAGUAAAAUCUUUUUACAGUUUAUACUUUAAGUAAACAUUAAAUAAGUAUGUAAAUAAAAUAAAUGAAAUUACAGAACUUACUUUAAUUCUAUGAAUCCGAGCCCAAUGACAACACUGUUUCCUUAAGACAAUUUUAUUCCCUCUCUGGUGCUCAAGGUAGUGAAUAAAUGUCUCCCAAGAUAGAACGGAUAUUCAGUUCUACAAAAGCAGCACUUCAAUCUGUAGAACACCACGAACACAACUUGUGUUUUGUACUCGAACUGACAAAGGAUGCAAAGAAGAGAGAGAGAAAUAUGCAGGAAUUAAUUGAAUCAUUUAAUGCCGGGGUAGAAAAUCUAUUUAUAGACUUCUUGGUGUCUAUUUAGAAUAGGUAUAAACCUAUUCGGAAUAGACACGUACCUGUUUGGAAUAGUCAUUCAAGUGGGUGACUUUGGAGUCAAUUUUCUCAUUCAAUACUUAAUGGAUUUGAACAAAUAAAUAUACCACGUUAUACUCCUCGCGGAAGAGAACGCGUUGGUGUGUGGUCCCGACAUUUUCAGAGUGUGGGUCACACUUUUAAUUAAGCCCCAAGUUGCUCAAUUAUUAUUUUUUUCAAACUCAUUUCCAACAAUCCCCCACAUGAAUGUAAAAUUGGCUUUACAACAUGCAAAAUGAAUACGCAGACACUAGUUCGAGUACAAAUGAAAAGUUACUGCUUCAGACUAAGUGACCAUUGGUCUUGAACUUGCCCUAGUGAAGACUAUCGGAUUUACUUGGCCAGUCAAUAGACGUUGUCUUUGAAUUGCCAGUCGUUGGUGUAAACCAAGACAAUAGAAUCACACAGUACCAUUUCUAACACAGUUGGUUCUCACGUUUGUGUUCAUUUUGGCCUUGAACACCUCUUGGUUCCGUGAGUAUGUUAGAGAAUUUAGCCUUUCAUAAUUCUCAUAGAAGUGGCCCCCUUCUUACUCACGUAGGUGAUUUCUAUUAAGAAUAUCCUGCAAUAUCCCACUUAUGACACAAUUUCAUAAGCUAUAGAAAUCAUUAAAAUCGUAUCUUAUCCUGAUUCUCGCGGCAGAUAUGCACUGUCUCAUCAUAGGAAUGGUUUGGAGUAAGUAUCUCCACAGUGCGUUCUGAGUUCUACAUAGUUCGGUUUGCCCUUUGAACCUAGAUCUUGGGAUCUCCUGUCAGCUAGGUUGGGUUGCCACUAUGAUGACCCUUGGUUUAUUUCAUAGGCUUUAGACCCAUUCCCUUUGAUGAACUUUCUACUUGCUCUCUAGUUAAACCUUUUGUAAGCGGAUCUGCAAUAUUAUCUUUUGACCUUACGUAGUCAAUUGAGAUAAUUCCAUUUGAGAGCAAUUGCCUAACGGUAUUAUGUCGACGUCGUAUGUGACGUGACUUACCGUUAUAGUUAUGACUCUGUGCUCUUCCAAUUGCUGAUUGGCUAUCACAAUGGAUGCAAAUAGCAGGCACAAGUUUUGACCAAUUUGGAAUAUCCUCUAAGAAAUUUCGUAGCCAUUCGGCUUCUUCUCCAGCUUUAUCUAUUGCAAUGAAUUCUGAUUCCAUUGUAGAUCGAGCUAUACAAGUUUGUUUUGAGGAUUUCCAAGACACGGUUGCACCUCCAAGUGUAAACACAUAUCCACUUGUGGAUUUUGAGUCUUUUGAGUCAGAUAUCCAAUUAGCAUCGCUGUAUCCUUCAAGUACAGCUGGAUAUCUUGUGAAAUGCAGUCCAUAAUUUUGAGUAUAUUUAAGGUAUCCCAAAACUCGUAUUAUUGAUUUCCAAUGAUUUUCUCCGGGAUUACUCGUAAAUCGACUUAGCUUACUAACGGAGUAUGCUAUAUCAGGUCGAGUGCAGUUCAUCACAUACAUUAGACUGCCAAUUAUACGAGAAUAUUCUAAUUGAGAUUUUCCUAUGCCAGUAUUCUUAAAAAGAUGAAGAUUUACAUCCAUAGGUGUCUUCUUUGGUCUUAUAUCGUACUUCUUGAAUUUCUCAAGUAUUUUCUCAAUGUAAUGAGAUUGAGAAAGUAUAAGACCAUCAGAAGUUUUUGAGACCUUAAUUCCCAAAAUUAUAUCUGCCACACCUAGAUCUUUCAUAUCAAAUCUACUGGAUAGCAUUUGUUUAGUCAUUUUUAUCAUAUUAGUAUCACUACCAAUAAUUAACAUGUCAUCAACAUAUAGACAUACAAUGACAUAUCCUUUUUGAGUGUUUUUGACAUAAACGCAUUUAUCACAUUCAUUAAUUUUGAAUCCAUUUGAUAUCAUUGCAUUGUCAAAUUUCUCAUGCCAUUGUUUAGGUGCUUGCUUUAAUCCAUAUAAGGAUUUAACAAGCUUACACACUUUCCUCUCUUGUCCAAGAGCUAUAAACCCUUCAGGUUGAUCCAUAUAUAUUUCUUCAUCUAAUUCACCGUUCAAAAAUUCCGUUUUAACAUCCAUUUGAUGUAUUUCAAGAUUGUUUAUUGCUGCUAUAGCAAUUAACAUACGGAUAGAAGUUAUUCGGCUAACUGGUGAAUAAGUGUCAAAAUAAUCCAAUCCUUCCCUUUGCUUGUACCCUUUGGCAACAAGUCUUGCUUUGUAUUUAUCAAUUGAACCAUCUGCCUUCAUUUUCUUUUUGAAAAUCCACUUACAUCCCAAUGUUUUGGUACCUGGUGGAAGAGCCACUAGUUCCCAAGUAUGGUUUUGCAGAAUAGAUUCAAUUUCACUAUUAAUUGCUUCUUUCCAAUAUGAAGCUUCAGGGGAGGACAUAGCUUCUUUGAACGUUUGAGGAUCAUUUUCUAACAAAUAUGUUAGAAAAUCUGGGCCAAACGAAGUUGACUUUCUUGCCCUUUUUCCAUGUCUAGGUUCUUCGUCAACUUGUUUUUCUUUUGAUUCUUGAUUUACUUCUAAUUGAUUAUUACCAAAAGUAAUAUCAUGAGUCCUCUUUUGUGUACUUGUUUCAGAUGACUUGUUAUAUGGAAAAAUAGUUUCAAAGAAUGUAGCAUUCCUUGAUUGUAUAAUUGUAUUAACAUGCACAUCAGGAAUCUCGGACUUAUAAACAAGAAAACGAUAUGCACUACUAUUAUUAGCAUAACCAAUGAAUAUACAAUCAAUGGUUUUAGGUCCUAUUUUAACCUUUUUAGGUUUAAGAACCCCCACCUUUGCCAAACACCCCCACACUUUUAGAUAUUUAUAGCAAGGCUUGUGACCUUUCCAUAAAUCAUAAGGUGUUUUAAGUGUUUUCUUAUGAGGCAUUUUGUUAAGAAUAUAAUUGGCGGAAAGCAAAGCUUCCCCCCACAAAUUCUGGGGUAAACCAGAACUUAACAACAUAGCAUUCAUCAUUUCUUUCAAUGUUCUAUUUUUGCGUUCAGCAAUCCCAUUAGAUUGAGGAGAAUAUGGAGCGGUAGUUUGGUGAAUGAUUCCAUGUUCUAAACAGAACUCCUCGAAAGGGGAUUCAUAUUCACCACCUCUAUCGCUUCUUAUUGCCUUAAUCUUUUUGCUAAGUUGAUUCUCAACUUCAUUUUUAUAAUGUUUAAACAUUUCAAUUGCCUCAUCUUUGCUUUUAAGCAAAUAUACAUAACAAUAUCUAGUGCAAUCAUCGAUAAAAGUAAUAAAAUACUUUUUCCCACCUCUCGUUUGCACAAACUUUAAAUCACAAAUAUCACUGUGAAUUAAGUCUAGAGGUUCAGUACUUCUUUCAACUGAAUGAAAAGGUACUUUUGUUAAUUUAGAUUCUACACAAGUUUCACAUUUAUGAUUAGGAUCAAUAUUAAAUUUAGGUAGAUAAUCUAAGUGAAUUAAUCUACGUAGAGUAUCAUAAUUAACAUGUCCUAAUCUACCAUGCCAAAUAUUAGAAGACUCAAGCAAGUAAGCAGAAGAAUCAAUCUUAUUAUUAUUAAUAGACUUAGGUACAACAGUCAUUACAUUCAUCUUAAAGAGCCCAUCACUAAGAUAGCCCUUUCCUACAAACAUCUCAUUCUUUGUAAGUACAAACUUAUCAGACACAAACACUAAUUUGAAACUAUUUUUGCUAAGCAAAGAUCCAGAAACCAAGUUCUUGCGAAUGUCUGGCAUAUGAAGCACAUCAUUUAAAGUGAGUUCUUUGCCAGAAGUCAUUUUCAAAAUCACCUUCCCACGGCCUUCAACUUUGGAACUAGAAGAGUUACCCAUGAAUAAUUCUUCAUUUUGCUCUACGAGUUUGUAAGUUGAAAACAUCCACUUGUUGGAACAUAUGUGACGAGUAGCCCCAGUGUCCACCCACCAUUCCUUGGUGUUUCCUACAAUAUUGCAUUCGGAUACAACAGCGGAAAGAUUCAUCUCGAAGACAUCAUUUGAAAGUUUAUCAAAUUCUGUCACAUUUGCUUGGGGUUUCUUUUCCUUCUUUGGCUUACGGCAAUCAUUAGACUUGUGACCAGUUUUGCCACAAUUAUAACAUUUGCCUUUGAAUUUCUUCGCCGCAUUUGAUCCUUGAUUCUGAUUUUGAUCACCAUGCUUUCGUUUCUUGUUAGUUUUUGGUCCUUGUUCAAUAACAUUGGCUUUAGCCUCCAUUGAAUUAUUUCUCUUCUUUUCAGAUUUUCGGUUGUCCUCCUCAAUCCUUAACCUCACAAUUAAUUCUUCAAGAUUCAUCUCUUUGCGUUUGUGCUUGAGAUAAUUCUUGAAGUCCUUCCAUAGUGGUGGUAAUUUUUCAAUCACAGCAGCCACUUGAAAUGAGUCACUAAGACUCAUUCCUUUAGAAUGGAUUUCAUGAAGAAUUACUUGCAGUUCUUGAACUUGACUUAUAACUAUUUUGGAAUCGAUCAUUUUGAAAUCAAGAAAUUUGCCGACUAUGAAUUUCUUCAUGCCAGCAUCCUCGGUUUUGUAUUUCUUGUCAAGUGAAUCCCAUAGUUCCUUUGCUGUCUUGAGUGAACAAUACACAUUGUAAAGUGUAUUGUCUAAGCCAUUAAGCACAUAAUUUCUGCAUAAGAAAUCAGAAUGCUUCCAUGCAUCCACGGCAGCAACCUUUUCCUUGUUGGUUUCUCCUUCUUCAAGUAUGGGACAUUCUUCAUGAAGGAACCUUGCCAAGUUCAAUGUGGUGAGGUAGAAGAGCAUCUUUUGUUGCCAACGUUUGAACUCAUUCCCAUUGAAUUUCUCUGGUUUUUCUCCAUGAGUCAAAUUCAUUGUAGGAACAUUGCUUGAAGAUGCCAUUUGAUUUCUGUUACAAAAACAGAAAUGCAGAAAAUUCAGAAUACAAAAUUCUGAUUUAAAAAAAAAAUAAUAGAUGAAUAGAAUAUUUAAGUUUCCAAAUGCAGAAACACAAUCUGAUUUGAAACUUAAGAAUAUAAUAUUUACUGAAGUAUAAACUACAAAAAGUUUUUUUUUUAUUUAAUAAAGUUGUCUUAAGAUUGUUAGCAAGUAAAAUCUUUUUACAGUUUAUACUUUAAGUAAACAUUAAAUAAGUAUGUAAAUAAAAUAAAUGAAAUUACAGAACUUACUUUAAUUCUAUGAAUCCGAGCCCAGUGACAACACUGUUUCCUUAAGACAAUUUUAUUCCCUCUCUGGUGCUCAAGGUAGUGAAUAAAUGUCUCCCAAGAUAGAACAGAUAUUCAGUUCUACAAAAGCAGCACUUCAAUCUGUAGAACACCACGAACACAACUUGUGUUUUGUACUCGAACUGACAAAGGAUGCAAAGAAGAGAGAGAGAAAUAUGCAGGAAUUAAUUGAAUCAUUUAAUGCCGGGGUAGAAAAUCUAUUUAUAGACUUCUUGGUGUCUAUUUAGAAUAGGUAUAAACCUAUUCGGAAUAGACACGUACCUGUUUGGAAUAGUCAUUCAAGUGGGUGACUUUGGAGUCAAUUUUCUCAUUCAAUACUUAAUGGAUUUGAACAAAUAAAUAUACCACGUUAUACUCCUCGCGGAGGAGAACGCGUUGGUGCGUGGUCCCGACAUUUUCAGAGUGUGGGUCACACUUUUAAUUAAGCCCCAAGUUGCUCAAUUAUUAUUUUUUCAAACUCAUUUCCAACAGAUUCUUGCCUCAAUUAGCUUGGGAAUGUGAAGUGCCAAAGCCAAGAUUUCUGGUCCAGAAGGAAAAAAGGGGACCCCCAGGAUUCCCAUCUUCUCUGCCACCUCCAUUGCCCACCACCCAAGUGUUAUGUCAGCAACAACACAAAUGAUUUGCUCAUCAUCAUUCGAGCGGUUAACUUUCUCAAUCAAAUCCUUCAAAUGGCUCGGCAUGACUCUUGAAAUGCUUUCUGUUAACUUGGGUAGAUCUUUCCGAUCGUCCCCUGGAUCCAGACCAUCUGGGAUAGAGGCUAGCCCUAUCCCACUCCGAGCCUCAGCCUCAUGUGGGAGUGCAGCCAGCAGUUUUGCAUGUAUGAAGUCAGAGUUAACAAAGGUGACCUUGAUCCCAUGAUCAGAAAUCCGGUGUGCAAGCUUCAUAAGAGGAGCAACAUGUCCUUGCGCUGGGAGAGGUAUAAUCAGCACAUGAGGUCGCCUGCCCAUGGUCCUUGCUAACUUGCCAACACUUCCACCCUUCUCUUUGUUCUGAUCCCAAGCUUCACUAGUAUGCCUAAAAAUACUAGUGAUGAUGAUGAUGCUAUUUAUGAGAGUCAGAGCGAGAGGAAAACCAUGCCUAAAAAUAAGGCGGCUAUUAUGUUCCAUGUUUCCAUCCGUGUGAUUCAUGCCCAAUUGGUGUCUCAGCUGAUUCGUGUUCAGCUGGUGCUCCUUGGAUGAGGGAGUGAUCAACAAAAUUUAUACCUAUAACACCAUACACUAGGGUAGCAAAUAAAAAGGUACUAUAGUAUAGUGGCUCUAGGAUCGUUCACUGGGAAUGAUUAACAAGCAAUCAAUGAUACCAAUUCCAAGUGAAUUGGUCUUGUUUCAUUUCAAGGUUAGCUUAAGAAAUAAAACACAAACUUUGAUUGGUAAAGGUUUAGACUUAAACUAACUAACUUAACAGAAGUUUGGAAUAAUUUAGGAAAAAAAGCAUUCCUUGGAGAUUUAGGUUCACUGGGGUGGUUCCUCAUGCAAAAGACACGGCUCUGGUCAGAUGGUUUAUUUCCUCGCGUUAGAGAUUCAACAUAUAGUCAAUUCUCUAACCGGUGAUGUAUAGAGACUCCUUCAAUUAGAUUUCACUUUAAUUCUCUCACUGAUAUAACUUGCAAUGGUUUCAGCCUCUCACCAAGCCUCAACCAUUCAAGGUGAUCUUUAACCUUGGACUUCCCUUCACAAACUCGCAAGAGAUAACUAAUGGAUGUCUCCUAGGAGUCCAAAAGCUUACCAAGUGUUGGUAAUUCCAGAAAAUCCUACCUUGAAGUCACCUCCCAGAGGCUCGCAAGAGGUAAACUAGUGCAAUUCCAUGGUUGGAAAUCACUUGCCUUACCAAGUGUUGGCCCAGGUGACUCUAAGGUGUUUUAAGUUAAUUAAAAACAUUGAAAUCACUAAAGGAUUUCACUUCCUCUUCAUUACUAGCUAAAACCACAAAGUUUUGCAUUCUUGCACUUGGAACCUCCCCCGGCAACCUUAGCUCCAAGGAAUUAGAGGUUUAGUUACUCAUUCUCUGGGGAAAACUCCUCAGAGAAUUCAUAACUUAGAAAUAAAAUGAAAAUACAAAGUGAGAAGGUAAGGCAGUAGAAAGAAAAGAACUUUACUUGCUUCCCAACUCUUACAGAAGGAACUCCUCCUCUGGAACAGGUUCCCGAGAGGUAUAAAUAUCAACAUAAUAUAUAACUAAUUAUUACAAAGAUAUUUAGUCUUUUUUACUAACUUAAAAGCUAAGGAAUCUUGUAAUUGGAGGUUUACAAAGAGUAUUUUGGGAUUUAGACAACAAAAAUCUAAUAGAAAAUAUCUCCCAAUGUCGGUAGCAAAUAUCGGGAGGCUUCAGGAACCAUCUCGCAGGAGAAAAAUGGUGUCUGCGAAAUUUCGCAGACACCCAAGAGGGCUGCGAAAUAUUUUCGCAACACCAAGCUAUCUUCACCAGGCUGCAAAGUUGGCUUCCAUCUUGAGGUUCCUAGCUUCCCUCUCGCAGCAUAAAUCAGGCAUCGUCAUAAGGAGAAACACUCUACUGUACAAAAAUGCUGCGAAAUCACUUCGCAACAAAAGGGUGAUUUCGCAACACUUUGCAAAAUGUUCCCUUCAGCUCGGAGUGAUUGGCUUGUAAUGGCUGCAACUUCUUCGUUUCAACUCCGAAUUGCACACUGUUUGAAGCAUUGGAUUUUUGACUUCCUGAGCUUUGAAAUGGUAUAUAGCAUACAUCAUUUGGACUUCAGGAAGUGCCCCAAAAGUGGCUGCUACAACUGUCAUCAAGAAUAUGCUCCAUGACUGAUCCUCUUUGCUUUUUCUCCUUGCAAUCCGGAUUCACUCUUGGCAAAUGACUUCUAAGCUUUGCCCAAGAUUCCUCAUAGCUCUCCUCAUAUUUGACUUGCUUUGGUGAUCAAAAUACUAACAAAAACACCAAAACUUGCACAAAGUGAUUAAAAUUGCUUUAAAGGAUCCUUAACAUGCCAAUUGGGUUAAAAGGCCUAAACUACUACUCAAAAGUGUUUAAAAGGAUUAAUUAUAGACUAUCAAAUAGCACUUUUUGAGUAGUAAUCACCGUGGAGAGGGAUUUAAUAGGAUGCAGCUGUAUUUCAGCCGCCACUCUUCAGGGUAUAAAUUCAUCAACAACCCAAAACCUAACUUUCCCUAUAAAUUUUAAAGCAAUUCAACGAACACCACUGUAAAGUGUGAUUAAAGGGUCAAAGCUUGGCCCCAAUUGAUAUUCAUCACGUAAAUAUAUAGUACAUCAAGCAAACCUAAUUAAGGGAAAACCGUGAGUUUAGGAAACAAUCCUAAACAAUAGCAACUACUUUCCUAGAAUAUAUCAUAAUAUCUCAAUGCCGUGAGUUUAGGAAACAAUCCUAAACAAUAGCAACUACUUUCCUAGAAUAUAUCAUAAUAUCUCAACACCCUCCCUCAAGUUGGAGCAUGAGGUUCAAAAAUGCCCAACUUGGCAAGAAGAUAAUCAAAUUGUUUCUUUCCAAGAGCCUUUGUAAAAAUAUCCGCCAAUUGUGUAACAGUAGGAACAUAUGACGGAGCAAUCAAACCAUCUGUUAUCGCAUCCCGAACAAAGUGACAAUCAACCUCAAUGUGUUUGGUGCGUUCAUGAAAUACUGGAUUUUUGGCCAUAUGAAGGGCUGACUGACUAUCACAAAAGAGCUUGAUUGCCUUUGGGUGGUGCACACCCAAGCUCAGAAGCAACCCCUUCAACCAUUUGAGCUCACAAGUAACUGCUGCCAUAGCUCGGUAUUCCGCUUCUGCAGACGAGUGGGAAACUGUGUGUUGCUUCUUUGUCUUCCAAGAAAUAGGAGAUUGCCCAAGAAACACAAGCCAUCCGGACAAAGAGCGUCUAGUGACUAGACAUGCUGCCCAAUCAGAAUCACACCAACCCUGCAGGGACAGAUCACUAUCUGCACGUAACAAGAUACCCUGACCCGGAGUACCUUUCAAAUAACGAACGACUCUCAAAGCCGCCUCCCAAUGCUCAAUUCUAGGCUCCUGCAUAAAUUGAGAUAAUAUAUGAACCGAGUAGGCCAAAUCUGGACGGGUCACUGCCAGAUAAAUGAGUCGACCUACUAAUCUGCGAUAGGACUCAGGGUUCGACAAGAGCUCCCCAUUUGCGAGUCUUAAUCUGUGAUUUUGCUCGAUCGGGAAGCCACACGGCUUGGCUCCCAGUAAUCCGGCCUCCGAUACAAUGUCAAGUGUGUACUUGCGUUGACACAAGAACAAACCAGCCGAACUCCUGGCCACCUCGAUUCCGAGGAAAUACUUCAAAACACCAAGAUCUUUCAUCUUAAAACAAUCACUGAGAUAGGCUUUAAAGGUCUUAAGUGCAGCGGAAUCAUUCCCAGAGAUAAUAAGAUCGUCGACAUACACUAGCACAUUUAUUUGAACAUUGCCCUUAGUGUAAGUAAAAAGAGAAUAAUCAGAGUAGGAUUGUAAGAAACCAUAUCCUUUAAGAGUCGUGACCAACUUGGCAAACCAACAUCUCGGAGCCUGUUUCAACCCAUAAAGUGAUUUCCGUAACCUGCAAACCAAGUUCGGAUCGGAACGCUCAAAUCCUGGGGGUAGCUUCAUAUACACUUCCUCCUCAAGAUCUCCAUGCAAAAAGGCAUUGUGAACAUCCAUCUGAUGAAGUUCCCAAUUUUUCGAAGCCGCAAUAGCCAAGAAAGCACGCACCGUAGUCAUUUUGGCAACUGGAGAAAAUGUCUCAUGAUAAUCAAUACCGGCUUCUUGAUGAUUCCCCAAAACUACUAAUCUGGAUUUGAGCCUUUCAAUAUCACCAUUUGAGAAGUACUUGGUUUUGUAAACCCACUGACUUCCCAAAGCACGCUUACCCUUUGGAAGAGGUUCAAGAGUCCACGUACCAUUUUCCUCCAAAGCCCGAAUCUCCUUAUGCAUUGACUUUUGCCAACCGACAUCUUUCAUAGCCUCUUUAAAUGACUUAGGAUCAUUGCUCGAAAUAAUAGCUGCAAGAAACUUUCGAUAAUGUACAAAAAAAUUGUCACAAUUUAUAUAAUGUGCUAUGGGAUAAGGAGUACCUGAGGGAUGCUGUGGAGACGGAGUGGCGGGAAAUGGACUUUCAGCAACCACCGUAUGAGUAACAAAAUCUCGUAAUAGAACUGAAGGAAAUUUAUCCCUCAUUCCCUUUCCCAUAGGAGCAGACUGCCCAUUGCUUGUAUUGUCAAGCCCAAGUGAAUCAAGCCCAACAGUGGGAACAGCUUCCGGCCCAGGUGAAAGAGGCGCUGAAGAAGCCUCGGUGUGGGCCGGCCCACCCUCCCUCAAGCCCAGAUCUAGAUCAGCAUCAAAAUGGGGCACCUGAUCUUGGUGGGCUUGGGGUUCAUGUUGGAUGAGGUUGGGAUUUUGUGUUUGGGCUUGUGGGUUAGGCAAAUCAGCAUCAUCAUCGACAAAAUCAGCAAAAUCACUAUCAAUUUCAACAUUUACCGUAGGCACAAUGUUUUCCGGAACAAUAUUCACAGCACCCGGGUUACCAAACGGAAAAACAUCCUAAAAAAACUUGACAUCACGAGAAACAAAUAAUUCCUUGGUGUCCAAAUCAAACAACUUCCACCCCUUCUUUCCAAACGGGUAACCCAAAAACACACAUUUUCUACUUCUACUUGCAAAUUUGUCACCUUUGGAUUUUUUAUCAUGAGCAAAACUAAGACAACCAAAGGUGUGAAUUGCCGCAUAUGAAGGAGGGGUGCCAAAUAGGAUUUCAAAUGGUGUUUUAUUGUGUAACAAAGGAGAGGGAGUGCGGUUUAUUAAAUGAGCAGCGGCAAGAACACUUUCGCCCCAAAAAUAAAUAGGCAAAUUUGCUUGAAAGCAUAAUGCCCUCCCCACAUUUAAAAUAUGCUUGUGUUUUCUCUCAACCCUCCCAUUUUGUUGCGGAGUUCCCACACAAGAAGUUUGGAAUAAAAUGCCAGUUGCAAAAAAAUAGUCAAGUAGGCAUUUAAAUUCCGUACCAUUAUCACUUUGAACAACUUUCACUGUUUGAGAAAAUUGUCAAUCUACCAUUGCAAUAAAGGACAGAAACAUCCGAAAAACUUCUGUUUUAUCGACCAACAAAUAAAUCCACACAGCUCUUGAGAAAUCAUCAACAAUAGUUAAAAAAUAACGAGCUCCACAAGAAGAGACAUGUUUAUAAGAGCCCCACAAAUCACAAUGUAUUUUCUCAAAAAUUCUAGUUGCCUUAUUGUCACUUAAAGGAAAUUUGUCUCUAGGAUGCUUAGCACGAAAACAUAUUUCACAAGCUUUGUUUAAACUACCCUUAAGAUUGCUAACUGGAGGAAGUAACUUCACUACUUUCUCUGAAGGAUGUCCCAUCCUUUUGUGCCACAACUCCAAAGUGGAUACUGCGUUGUGGACAGAAACAUGUUGUACCGAAUCACCUUCAGCUCCACCGAAGUAGUAAAGUCCAUCUCGCCUAACUCCCGUUCCAAUCAGCUCCCUGGUGUGGUCCUGUAUAGCACACAUAUAAGAGUUAAAUUGGACAAUACAAUGUAAGUCAUCAGUCAAUUGUGAAACCGAAAGUAAAUUGCAAUUGAGUUUCGGCACAUAAAGAACGUUUUUAAGAGUGAUGGUAUUCGACAAACGAACGGAACCGGAUUGGGUCGCAACAACAGAUUCACCAUUAGGAAGGCCAACCGGACACUCAAACAACGCUAUAGUAUCAAAUAACCAAGAUAAAUCACCGGUCACGUGAUGAGUUGCCCCGGUGUCAAUGAUCCAUGACUUCGUGUCAAACUUACCAUUCAACCUGUUAUCCGGAACUUGAGCAUUACCAAUUAAGCCCGCAAGAGCUUUCCAUUGUUCGGGUGUGAAGAGUUGAUCGGUAGAACUUUUAGUAGAGGAUGCUCCAACUGUGCUACUUGCCGCGUUAGCACGAGCUGAACCACGCCCACGACCAGCCUGCUGACGACUACGUCCAGCACCCCCAUCAGCCUUGUUUUGAUCCAACCACCCCUCAGGAUAACCCACUAUUUCAUAACAAUUAUUUUUGUCAUGGCCAUGCUUGUGACAGUGAGGACAAGCAACGAGAGACCAACAAGUUGAAGUCUCAUGCCCCGUCUUCUUGCAGUGGCUACACAUAGGCCUCUCCGUUUUUCCUCGUCCUCUUCCAGCACCUGUACGGACAACGAAGCCAAGGACCUCUGCGGGCUUGUCUUCUGUGACUGCCUUGGCGAGCCGCACACGCUCAUCUUGUAUCACCAGUUGGUACGCUCGAUCAAGCGAAGGCAAGGGAUCUUGAGAAAGGAUAUUGGUUCGUAAUUGAGCGUACAGAUCAGUGUUGAGUCCCAUCAAGAAGUCAUGUAAUUUUCCUUGUUCACGUCUUGCUUGGUGCAAUGAUGCGGCAGUACAAGACGAACAACAAGUGCAAGAAAUUAGCGAUUCAUGCUUAAAUAAUUCCUCCCAUAAUACAUUCAAUUUGCUAUAGUAAGUUGUAACAGACAUAGAUUUCGGUUGCUCACACUUAGCAAUUGAAGUCUUUAACUGUUGAAUUCUUGGGCCAUUAACCAUAGCAUAUCGUUGCUUAAGAUGCUCUCAUAAGCGUUUUGCAUCACGAAAUUUAGAUAGGGUACUCUUUACCUCGGGAUCGAUUGUGUUUGUAAUCCAAGAAACCAACAUUGCAUUGACGGUGUUCCAAUCAGAUUGGGUAUAUGGAGGUUGUGGUCCGGUGAUAGUGUCUUCCAAAAAUUCGAACUUGCGGCGUGCCUCCAAUGCCAACUGAAUAUCGGAAGCCCAAUCAUCGUAAUUGUCGCCGCGUAAGCGAGUGGGAGUGAUGAAGUCGCCUGGUCGGUCUCCUGUACGGAGAAAAAAAGGUGAAUUCAUCUCCCUUUUAGGUGGCGGCAAUGGUGGUUGUUCAUCGUCGCCGGCCAUUGUUUUAUUGUGUGUGCAUGUCAGUGCUCUGAUACCAUGUAAAGUGUGAUUAAAGGGUCAAAGCUUGGCCCCAAUUGAUAUUCAUCACGUAAAUAUAUAGUACAUCAAGCAAACCUAAUUAAGGGAAAACCGUGAGUUUAGGAAACAAUCCUAAACAAUAGCAACUACUUUCCUAGAAUAUAUCAUAAUAUCUCAAUGUCGUGAGUUUAGGAAACAAUUCUAAACAAUAGCAACUACUUUCCUAGAAUAUAUCAUAAUAUCUCAACAACCACCCAUCUUGGACCCCCCCCCCCCCCCCCCCCCUCUCCUCCUUCUUCAUGCUUGGACGGUUGGACCAUCCAACCAUGCUUCACAACCAAAUACUUUUAUUUUUAAUUUCAUAAAAUUUAUGAUGUCCUAUCACUCCAUCAGUAUCACAAUAUUAAUUUAUCCUGUACAAAUUAAUAAAAUUCUCAAAUUUAUUUUUACUUUUUUAACUAAUAAGAUAUUAAAAAUAUUAUUCCACAUUAUCUCAAAAUUAUUUUUAUUUCAUACAUUAUCUCAUAUCCUUUGUCACUUAUCUUGAUAUUUUGUCUUUAUAAAGUGUCUUCUGUGGCUCUCCAUUGCCACUUAUCAAAAGUCUCAUUAAAAGAUCAUUUUUGCUCUCAUACCAAGUUGAAAUCCAAAAAAAGAUUCAAAAAGAAAAAGAUCGAGAGAAAGACAAAAUUUAGGAUUUCUUAUUAUGAAUUCUUUUAAAAAUAACUCCAACAUCAUUAGAAUUUAAAUAAACCUAAUAAAAUAAAAUAAAGACUAUUUUACUCUUACUUGUAAAAAGAAAGAAAAUAAUUUUAAUAUAGUAAUUAAGUAUAAUAACUAAAUAGUAUAUAAUUCUAAUAUACUAACUAAAGAAAUUAAUAACUUCUAACAUAUUUUACGAUUGGAUAUUGUAGAUGGGCCUUUUAAAUAAUAUUUCUUUGAUGUGAUGAUGGGUUUGAUAUUUUAGUAAAGUAUAGUUGGACUUAUUUUGGUUCUUUGAUUAUGAACUAAUAUUUGGUGAUACACUGAUACUACAAAUGCAAUAUUUGAGUGUAUUAAUUUUUGCUAUGAUUAUUUUAAAUUAUGGUUACAUCUUAGAGGUUUUUUUCAUAAGUAUAAUUGAUUAUAAAUAUAAUUAUAAUAUUAUUGUAAAACAUUUUAUAAAACCUAAUACAUAAUAUUUAAUGAUUUAAGAUGAGUUUAAGUUAAAUUAUAUUUAAAUCAUUAAAUUAAUUAAGCAAAUGUCUUCAAAUUAUUUUUAAUUUUAAGUUAUAUAAUAUUUAUUAUGGUUAAUAAUUUAUGUGAUUAGGUCGUUAAGAUAAUUUAUCUAAUAAAUUUCUUUUACUUAGAUAAUCUUAUGAGGAGCAAACCUUGGCAUUCACUCUCACCCUUUUACAAAGCUUUACUUCCUUGAUUUUCUAAGUGUGCUAUCGCUAAAACAUGAUGGUUUUGGAGGCUAUGUUGUUGAAUGUCCUAAAACUGUGUUGGAUUAGUUUCACCAUCACUUAGAACUCUUGGGUUAGAGCCCAUUUGACCAUAUUAUUUUAUACUUAUUGUUAGAAUAAUUAGGUUAAUCCAAACUAAUGUAGUCACCCUAGUGAGGGGAUGAAUAGGGUGAUGGUUUCAUUUUACAAAUUUAAAUUAUAUGAAUGUAAGACACAAUUAUAAGAAAAUAUAUAAUAAAAUAAUAUAAAAACAAUUGCAUAUAAAAUAAAAGAGUAGGGAAGAGAGAAUGUAAACAUAAGAUUUUUAUAGUGGUUCAACGUAACCUGGCCUACAUCCACUCUUCUUUAGCUUUAAUCCCAAGCUUGAGGUUCCAUUAAUUCAAGGUUUCCAAAUCAAGCCUUCAAACAAUACAAUUGGAUUAUGGUUUCAAUCCACUAUCUUGGACUUUUGGCUCCAAGCACCCUUUACAAUCUCCAAGAGAUAUCUCACUCUUGAACAACCUCUCAAUUGAUAUCCCACACUUGAGAAUCCCUAAGUGAUACCUCACACUUAGAUUCUUUAUCUCAAAAAAUUACAAAAGAUAAGAAAUAAUCUUACAAAAUCCUAGUACAAAACUUAAGGCUCAAAUGUACAAGAAAAACUAAGAUUGAAAGGUGUAUUAAUGAUAUGUAAGUUUUAGAACAAUGGUGCACUCAAAAAUACUCUUCUAAGGCUUAAAUAUAUUUAAGAAAGGUUUAGGAAGGUUAAGUUCUUGAAACAAUGAAGAUUUGAGCUUUUUUAUAUAGGAAAAAGGCCAAAUUAGCCAUUGGGGGGUUCAUUCGGUCAAGCUCUGAUUCAAUCGGUUCACUAGCCGUUAGCAUUUAAUGCAUGACAGGUGAUCGUUGGACCUUGACCACCCCUUGACCAGACCUUGACCGGUUGAAUAAGCAUUGUGGAAGAAAGAGAAGGUUUUUGCACCCUUCAACCGGUUAAGCAUAAAAUGUCAACUGGUUUUUCAUCUGGUUCAACUGGUUGAGUCGUUUUUGGCUCAACAACCAUCAUUUUGAACUUAAAACCUUUUAAAUAAGUUUAGAAAACAUUUGACACAAGGUUUUAGUUGAAAACAUGAAAUCAUCCGAAGAGAGAAACUCAUGGAAAAUAUAGAUUGAAUGAAACUAAGAGAUCAAGACACAUCAAAAGAAUGAUGAACAAUGAAUCCCAGAAGAAGAUUGAAAACCUCUCACAAUCUAACCCAGUUUGUUUUAGGUGUGGUAAGGUAGACCAUUAUAAGAAAGAUCGUAAGGUUAAGAAGAAAAUUAAUAACUUAAACAUUUUGGAAGACUUAAAAGACAUGCUUUGUAAAGUAAUGUUAAACUCCUUAGAACUUGAAUCAAGGACUGGUUCAGAUAAUGAAAAUGAUACUAAUCAACUUCUAGACAUUGAUGAAGACAAUUCGAGUCAAACAUCUAGUGAUCUAGAAGAGUGCAUUAAAGGCAGUUGUGAUUGCCAUCCUAAGACUAUAAAUGUCAUAAUCCAAGAACAAGAAUUGGUUUUGGAUGUUUUAAGAAAGAUAAAAGAUGAAACUAUUAAGCAAGAAUUUUAUGAAGUCUUUAAGAAAUCCGUCCAUAAACCAAAAAUUAAGAAGACGGUGAGUCCUUAUAAUCUAAAUGAAAUCUUAACAAGAUUUAAUCAAAAUUAUCCUAAAGAUAUCAUAAUUAAGGAUCUUCAAGAAGAAAUAAGACAGUAUAAGAAAGAAAUUCAGGAUUUAAGACAAUUCACAAGUCUAGGUUUAACAGACCUCCAAGACCAGAUCAACAAGAUUGUUGUUAACCAAUGAAACUUUGAAGAGGUUCUAGAAUCAUCACAAGUCAAUGAAGAAGUGAUAGAUUCAUACUUAAAUACUGUUAGCAGAAUUAUUUUCCAAAAAUGGGAAGUCUACCUAACUAUAGUAAUCAAGGAUAAGUUUGUCUUUAAUUCCAUCACUUUGAUUGAUUUAGGAGCAGCUCUGAAUUGCCUCCAAGAAGGUCUAGUACCAACCCAAUUUUAUAGGAAAACUAAGCAAAUGCUUUCAAGAGCAAAUGGUACAAGACUUAUGAUUGAUUACAAGUUGUCAAAUGCACAUAUUUGUAAUCAGGACAUUUGAAUUAAUAAAACCUUCAUUCUAGUUAGAGACUUGAAGGAAAAAGUUCUUCUAGGAGUACCAUUUUUAAAUUCUAUCUACCUUAUUAGAGUAGAUAACCAAGGUUUAAGAACAACACCCUUAAAUAAGGAAAUUCUCGUUGAAUUCACUGAUCCACCUUGUAAGAAUUGAAGAACAAUUGAAAGAAGAAAACUCAAGAUGUAGUAGAAAUAUUUAAGAAUAAGAUUAUUGGAAAAGUUUUCUCUAACAUUCCUAAUAUGUUCUAAAACAAGAAGUAGCAUGAGGUUGAGUUACCUUAUGAACCAGAUUUUAGUGACAAAAAUAUUCCCACUAAAGCCAGACUUAUCCAGAUGAAUAAGGAAUUAUUAAGAUAUUGUGAAAAAGAUAUUUAGGAUCUUCUUGAUAAGAAAUUGAUAAGGAAGUCUAAGUCCCCUUGGAGUUGUUCAACCUUCUAUGUUCAGAAACGAGCUGAAUUAGAAAGUGGAACACCUAGACUAGUAAUUAACUAUAAGACUCUUAAUGAUGCAUUAAGAUGGAUUAGGUAUUUUAUUCCAAAUAAAAAUUACAUUUUUCAAAAGUUAGUUAAGUCCAAGAUAUUCUCUAAGUUUGAUAUGAAAUCAGGAUUUUGGCAAAUCCAGAUUGCUAAGAAAGAUAGGUAUAAGACAACCUUUGUGAUACCCUUUAGACAUUAUGAAUGGAUUAGGAAUAUAAAUACACCCAAGGAUAUAUAUACUUCAAUAUUGGGUAAAGAGAGAGAAAAAGAAAGAUAUCAUAUGCAAUUUUAUUUGUUUUUUAUGAUUUUUUUCUUAAAUUUCUCAAUGUUUUUUCCUUUAUUUUUAAAAACUAAUAUAAACAACUUCUACUUGUCUUUUAAAAACUAUUCUUUGUUUUCUUUUGUUUCUAAAAAUUGGAAAUAAAAAACUAUGAACAACACAGUACUAUGAAUUUUUAAAAAUAGUUAUCUAUUUUUAAAUCAUAGAGUCAAAUAGGGUCUAAUAGUUUGUUUGACCAUGUAAUUUGAAAACAUUUUUGUGUUUUCAAAUCGAACUACACUUAUUUAGUAAAAUUCAUUAAUUUUUAAAAAUAAUUCAAAACUCAAAAACCAAUAAUAUGAGAAAAUCUUGGAACUAAAAACUAAUCCAAUUUUGAAUAACUUUCCUAUAUUUUUCUUUUUGGCAUAUAAUUAUAUUUUUUUCAAAUUUGUUCAAUAGGCAAAUAAAUUUCAAAUCAAGUAAGACUUGAUGUGUUGGAUUCAUCAACGAGUCUAGUAAUUUUUAAAAAUAGUUUAAAACUCAAAUGAUUUAAUUAAUACAAGAAUCAUAGGGACAAAAAUUGAUUCAUAAUAACUCUAUUUUUCUUUUCUACAUAAAAUCAUAUUUUUUUCUAUUUUUUCACCAGGAAAAUAGACUUCAAAUUAAGCAAGACUUAUUUCAUUUUAUUUAUUAAUAAGUUUAGUCAUUUACAAAAAUAAUUUGAAAUUCAAAUAGUGACCCAUAUUUAACAAUAAUCUAAAAACAAAUUAUUAAUUUUGAAAAAAAAUCAAUUAUGCUUUUAUGAAAAUAUUAAUGUCCAUAUUUUUAUAACAUAUACUAAAGUAGUACAUUCUGUUAUGAAAAAAUAUAACGUAUAAUUUUACUACAAUAUUAUAACUAUUCAUAUUUUAUUAAAAACUAUAUAUAUAUAUAUAUAUAUAUAUAUAUAUAUAUAUAUAUAUAUAUAUAUAUAUAUAUAUAUAUAUAUUUUCUAAGUACAAAAUUAUUUUUAUUUUUACCAAGGCUUGAAUUAAAUUUAAUUAAUAUUAUAUACAUUAAGUCUAUGAUUUUAUAUAUAUAUAUAUAAAAUCAGAAUAUUAAAAAAAAAAUUAUCCAAACAAUGUUUUUUUUUAAGUGUUUUUAAAAACAAAGUUGCUAAACACCAUUGUUUUUAAAAAAUGAAAAUUGUUUUUUUUUUUUCACUUCAAAACAAUUUAUAAAAUAUAAGUAUAAAACCAAGGUUUGGUUAAUCUCGAUUUUGAUAAUAACAAAAUAAGGUUUGGAACUAAUGAUUAUAUUUCAAGUUUGAUUAAGCACGAAGAUUUCCAAAAUAGUAAUCACAAAAACAAAAUAUAGAAUGUUUCCUUAAAAAUUUUGAUUAGUUCAUCAGUCUCUACUUUAAAACUAAUUUAUUCAUUUAUAGCAUUAAUUCUCCUAAGGGACGGCUGAGGUGUCUCUGGGAUAAUUAAGUUAUAUUUUACUUUUUGACUUAUCUUUUCUAUUAAAUCUUGGUUAACAAAAGAAUUUUCUUGAAAUAUUUUAGAGAACUCAAAUGGCUUAAAUAAAGGCUUAGUAUUUUUAUUGACAAAAGAUGUUUUAAUGUGCUCUUGUGUUUCGAUGACCUCCUCAACCAUGUUGAGUUGAUCCCCUAGAGUUUUGAGAAACAUAUUAGUAUAGUUGUUUUGUUCCAUCAUUUUCUUAUUGUCUACUACACUAGCAGUUCCUUUAUCUCUUGUUUUAGUCUUAAAAAGUGAAGCUCUUAUUAUUGUACCAUUAACAUUCUUGUCUAUCUUAGCUUCUAGAGGAUGAAUGGAUUCUAUGACAGUGUCGUCACUAGUUUUCCAUAUCAUAGUUUUUGUGGAUAUAUUGUUGAUACUCCUAUCUAUAUAUAUAUAUAUAUAUAUAUAUAUAUAUAAAUUUCAAAUCAAACUAUACUUGAUACAUAAAAAUUAUUAAUUUUUAAAAGUAAUUUAAAACUCAAAAAUCAAUUUAGUUGGUAUUAGAAAGUCAUGAAAUGUAAUAACACUAAAAAGUAAUAGAUAAAAAUUUAUUUUGAAUGAAUUGACCAAUUUCUUUUUUGUAUAUAAUGAUAUUUUUGUAAAAUUUUUCACUAAGCAAGUAAACUCCAAAUUAAGAAAGGCUUAAUGCGUAGUAAUUUUUUAAUGAGUCUAUUAAUGAUUCCAAUUUAGAUUUAUUAAUGAGUCUAGUAACUUUUUAAAAUAAUUUGAAACUCAAAUAAUGAUCAAAUUAAUACAAAAAAAAUUAUAGAUAAAAAUUGGUCUAAAAUUGCUAUUGUUGUUUUUCUAUGUAGAACAUAUAUAUAUACAUUUACUAAAUGAAGCAAAACUUUACGAGUUAUGUUCAUCAACAAGUAUGAUAAUUUAAAAAAAAAUUAAUUUGAAACUCAAAUAGUAACCGAUUAAUACAAAAAAAUUAUGGAUAAAAAUUGUUCCACAAAGAUUCUAUUAUUUCUUUUUUUACACAUAAUUAUAUUUUUAAAAAUUUUAUCAUUUGGUAAAUGAAUUUCAAAUCAAGUAACAAUUUGUAUUAAAUUUAUUAAUGAGUUUAAUAAUUUUUAAAAAUAUUUUAAAACUACAAAAAUCGAUAUAAUCACUACAAAAAAUAAUAGAUCAAAACUGAUAUAUUAUGAGUUAUGACUUUACUUUUUCUCUUAUAAACAUAAUUAUAUUUUUUUCGCUAGUUAAAUACAUUCUAAAUUGAGAUAUAAUUAAUAAUGUAAAUUAUUUAAUGAAUUUUCUAAUUUUUCAAAAUAAUUAUGAAUUCAAAGGAUCGAUCUAAUUAAUUGCAUAUUAAAUCAAAGCACCAUACAAUACUUCGUUCAUAAUCGAGUACUAUACAUGUGCAUGUAAUGAAAACUUUGCUCAUUCACAUGUUAAACAAGUUAAACUUUAUUUGUUUUUGAAUUUAUUUAUAUAUAUAUAAUUUGUGAUUCUAGGAUAAUAUUACUAUUUAUAUUUUUACUAAAAACUAUUUAUUUGUAAUUAUAAAAUUAUUUUCAUUUUUAAUUACACAUCAAUUAAGUUCAAUUAAUAUAAUUAAUAUUAUGCAAAUUGAAUUUAUAACAUUUUACAGAUUUCAAUCUUCAUUAAUCUCAUGCCUUGAUAUGAAUCCAUUUUCAUCUGGGUUUAACCCCAAGCCCACCUUCCAUUUGUCGCAUAUGUAAUUCUGGUUAAGGAAUUGAUCUCCUAAGUAGGGCAGCAUAGGAAUUGAUCUCCUAAGAUUGACUUUUAUUUUCUAAAAACAAGUGUGUUUAGUAACUUGUUUUUAAAACCACUUUUCAAAAAAUAAAAAACAAAAAUUUGUUUGGAUAAAUUGUUUUUUUUAUAUUUUGAUUUUGUUAAAAAAAUCAUAGACUCAAUUUAUAUGAUAUAAGUUAAAUUUAAUUCAAGUCUUGUUAAAAAUAAAAAUAAUUUUGUAAUUAGAAGUAAAUAAAAAAUAUAUAGUUUUUAUUAAAAUAUGAAUAGUAAUAGUAUUAUAAUAAAGUUAUAAAUUAUAUUUUUUAUAUUAAAAUAUUAGUCUAGUAUAUGUUUUAAAAAUAUGGAUAUUAACAUUUUCAUAAAAGUAUAUCUAAAUUUUUUUUCAAAAUAAAUAAUUUUUUUUAAAAAAAUUAUUUAUUAAAAAUAUGGAUCACUAUUUGAAUUUCAAAUUAUUUUUAAAAAUUAUUGUACUUAUUAAUAAAUUAAACAGAGUAAGAGUGCGUUUGGCAGUAAUCGUAGAAAGUGUUUAUACUCUUUUUAACACUUAAAAAUUUUUAUUUUCAAGCAUAAAAAAUAUUAGAAACACUUCUUAAAAUCACUAUCAAACGCACUCUAAGUCUUGUUUGAUUUGUAGUAUAGUUGUUUGGUAGAAAAAUAAUAAUGAAAAAUAUGAUUCUAUAUAAAAGAGAAAAAUAAAGUUAUUAUUAAUCAAUUUUUGUCCAUAAAUUUUUUGUAUUAAUUGAAUCAUUAUUUUAGUUUUAAUUUAUUUUUAAAAAAUUAUUAAACUUGUUAAUAAAUCCAAGACAUCAAGUCUUGUUUGAUUUGAAGUUUAUUUGCCUAAUGAACAAAUUCAAAAAAAUAUAAUUAUAUAUGUAAAAAAAAAAAAGUGGCAAAGUUAUUCAAAAUAAAUUUUGGUUUAUAAAUUUCUUAUGUUAAUUGGAUUAGUUUUCAAUUUUAAGACUUUCUAACAUUAUCAAUUUUGGGUUCAAAUUAUUUUUAAAAAUUAAUAAAUUUUAUGUAUUUAAGUGUCGUUAUGCAUAAUUAAAAAAUUAGAAAAGUUAAAAGAAAUUUAGAAUAUGUAAUUCAAAGUAAGGAUGAAAAUAUCAGUAAUCAAGUACUUUGAUUUUGCGGAUAUAUUGAAGAGAUAUCAGCGGAUAUUUUGGAAAAAAAUAUCGAUAGGCUUAAAAUUGUUAAAAACUCAUGAAAAUGUAAGGAAAACCUCAUAAUAAUAUAAUUAGAAGUAUAAUAGACAUUUUAAAGUUAUUUUAUUGAAAAUUUUGAUAUAUGUAUAACAUGAUUUAUCAUAUUUGAUAAUAAUAUCGUAUGCAUCGAUAAAAAUAUUAAUUUUAUAAGUGUACAUUUAUUAUUAAAUUACAUAUAAUAUUAUGAUAUUUGAUUAUAAUAUGUCUAAUUUUAAAAUAUAUAUUAAUAGUAAAAUUAUGAUCCAUUUAAUUCAAUUGUAUUAAACAAUAUAAAAUAAAUUAUGAUAUAUAUAAACAGGAAUUAUGCCAUGAUUCAAAACAAAGAAGAGGGUUAGAUGAUACAAAAGAUAUCCAACAAGAAAUUUAAAGAGAAGGAACCCAAAAACUUGUUAGUUCAUAAUAAGCUUAAAACCGACCAUGUAGGCGGUACAAAAUAAAAAACAUAAAAUUAAAAACAAAGCUUAAUUAAAACCGACCAUGUAGGCGGUACAAGAACAUAAAAUAAAAUGAAAACAAAACUUAAAAAACCAUUCAUAUAGGAGGUAAUCAAAACAUAUUUAUAUUAUACAUAAGGAGAAAUAUCUUACAAUGGACAAGGGUAGGAAAGCUUGAAGAAAGCUUGAAAGCUUGAAGGGCUUUACAUGAUAAGAGAGAAAAAAGAGAGAAGGGAGAGCAUAAGCUUAGGAGAGAAAAUUAAGCGUGCUUACAAAUGAGGACCGAGCCCCUUUAAAUAUGCAAAAAAGGAAUCUUGAAUAGUAACAAUGAACAGUAGACCCGUGCUUGAAUAGUACUUGAAUAGUAAAAGUGAACAGAAAAAGGGAACUGUAGCACUUUUGACUUUUGACCCGGAAUCUUGCUUUCGACUGAAAUGACUGCUGUCAGGCUUCUUUAGACUGUGUAGUGCUGCUUUUGGUGCCGAAACUGCAAAGCUUGAAAUAUUCUUGUUGAUCGGCCAUCAUGAGAAAUCUUUAUGAUGAUCUUCAAGAAGCUUGAUAUCUUCAGUAAUAGACAUGGUUGGAAGAGGGUGUAACUUCUUGCCACAAAAAAUUUGAUGACAAGAAUCUGCAGCAAUGAGAUGUCCCAUAUUUCUUGGAAAAGCCUCAAAAUCCCUGCAAAUAAUUCUAGCUCUCCAGUGUUUGAUUUGCUUAAUAAUUGGUUCAGCACAAAUAUCAGAAAAUAGCAGAGGGUAAGACAGCCAAGUAGGUCUCCUAUUCUGAUAGUGAAGAGAAACAAUGUGCUGAGCUGGAAUAAGCUUGCCACUAGAAACCCACUCAGGAGCUUUGCUGAUGAUGAUGGCGUCCGCGAAUUUCUUAUUCAUUUUAAAUCCUUGGGUUAGGCCAAGAGCAAUUUUUCUUCCAAACUGGGAAACUUGGUUGGGAUCAGAACAGAUGAUUUGAUGGACCAGACCAUGGUCCAAAAGCUUUUCUGGAGUUAAUAAUAAAUCUUCACCCUUGAAUUUGAUGCUGAUUGGUGAAUAGUAUUGCAAGUCCAAGCAAACACGACUGAUUGUGAAAUUUCUGUUGCAGUUGCAAAUCAACUUCUUGAUGCCUUUUUGGUACUGGAAAGGUUCUUCAAUCAUUCUGCAAAUUUUUGAAUCAUCAACUUCCUUAUCAGUAACCAAGCUUAAACCUGGGACCUUAAGACCAAUAUUGGUAGAAAGAUAGAGAUGAAGAUCCUAGAGGUAUGAAGAUAUGAAGAUCUGUUUUUCUUCUGCUGAGGACUUAGCCUUUUCCAAAAUUAGGAGACGUAGUUCUGGCUGAAGAGAGUAUAGAUUCUCUGUCUUAUGAUGAUACAUCCUUAACAUACGGUAACCCAACUCUUCCUCACUCAAUUUAUCAUUCACCAGUGGGGUGGAAUGCUUAUUCUCACCAUUUUCCAGUGGGGAAAAUGAGGCUUGAGCUUUUAACAUGAGCUUAUGAAAGUCAACUAAUUCAAGUUUUCUUUCAAGAGUCUCAUACCUUCCCUGCCAUUCAAAAAUGCAAUUGAUAUAAUCAGAUAAAGUGUUAGUAUUGUUAAAAGAUGGAUUUGUGGGGAAGGAAUCUUCCACAAAAGGUAGAGAUUCCGAGCUUGAGUCUAUAUCUCUACUAGUGGAUGCUGAAGUAAUGUGAUGAUUGAAGUGGCUGGAAGAAUCUGCUAUUUCAAAAUGGUCAUAAUAAAGUGGCGUGAAUUUCUCAGAGAGAACUGAAUGGGAAUUCUUAGAAUUUGCAGGUUUAAUGGACCUAAGAGGUUGUUUGUCUUUCUUGGGGGCCAUGUUCUUGUGAAUCCUGCAAGUUCCACAAGUUGAGUGAUUAGGAAUGAAACUUUCUCUUUUAAUAAACUUAAUUUGAAAAUUAGGUUUUAAAAUAAUCCAAUCAGUUAAAUUAUGCUUAAAAGCUAUAUACUUAAUUGUUUUCUCAGAUGUGAAAACAACUUUUAAAAUUCCUUGAUUCAAAAUAUCAGUUCGAAAUUUUGAAAUGCAUAAAGGAAUGCUUAAAAUAUCAUUUAUAAUGAGAUUAUGAAUGAAAUGGGUAACUAGUAUCUCAGGUGGAUCAUCAAUUCUAACAAGAUUAAUUUCAUGAUCACAAGGAGUGAUGUUUUCAACAGGAUUAGCAAAUUCAAAAAGACUUUCCUUAUCAAAAAGUUUUGUUCUUAUACCUUGGUUAUCUACCCAUAAGGGAUAAAUAGAGCUUAAGAAGGGUAUUCCUAGGAGGGCUUUUUCAUUAAGAUCCUUAACAAGAAUAAAGGUUUGCUUAAUACAGAUAUCAUGGUUACGGAUAUGAACAUCUGUUUUAUACUUAAUGGCAAGUCUUUUACCAUUGGCUCCAAAUAGAGACUGACUAGUCUCUUCGCAUAAAGGAAUAGGUACAAGACCUUCUUGAAGGCAAUUUUCAACUACUCCUGAAUCAAUCAAAGCAAUAAUAUCAAAGACAAAUUUAUCUUUGACUACUAUAGUAAGGGAGACUUCCCACCUCUGGAAGAUAACCCUACUCACAGUAUUAAAAAAAGUAUAUGUCUCAUUAUCAUUAACAUGAGAAGAUUCUGGAAUAUCCAUAAGGUUUCUUUGGUUGACAAUUCUAUUGAUUUGAUCUUGAAGAUCAGAGAGACCUAAACUUAUGAAUUGUCUUAACUCUUUAAUCUCCUUUUUAUGCUGCUUAACUUCUUCAUGAAGUUCCUUAAUGCUGACUUCCUUGGGAGACUGUUGGUCAAACCUGUUUAAGAUAUCAUUAAGGUUAUAAGGAUUAACAAUCUUCUUGGCUUCUACCUUGACAACAGAUUUCUUAAAAACUUCAUAAAGAUUUUGCUUAGUCUUUUCAUCUUCAACUUUUCUUAAAGUAUCUAGGAUAAAUUCCUGAUCUUGGAUUAUGACAUUUAUAGUUUUAGGACGACGAUUACAAUUACCUUUAAUACAUUCUGCUUGGUCACUAGAAGAUUGGCUGGAAACUUCGCCACUACUGUCUAGUUGAUUAACAUCAUCUUCAUUAUCUGAAUUAGUCCUUGAUUCAGAAUCUGUGGAGUUUAACAUUACCUUACAAAGCAUAUUUUUUAGGUCAUCUGAGACACUUAAGUUAUUAAUCUUUUGCUUAACUCUACAAUCUUUUUUAUAAUGGCCAACUUUGCCACAUUUAAAACAGAUAAUUGGCUUGACAUCUAAAGGAGUUUCUACCUUUUUCUGGGUAUCUUUGUUGACCUUUCUUUGGACGUGCCUUGAUCGCUUAGUAUCAUUCAUCCUAUAGUUGUCAUAGGUACCUCUCUUACUGUGGUAAAACUUAUCUUUGCUAGGCUUCCUACUUGGUUUUUGCUUAGAAGGAGGCAUAGUUUCUUUUUGGCUAAAACCAAACUGGCUAUAGAAUGAUCCAAAUUCAUUCUUGUAGAUUUUUUGUUCAUUCUUCAUUUGUUGCUUAAGCUUGAAGUCAUUGCACAACUUAAUCCCUUCAGCUGUGACAAUGCUUAUAAUCUCACCAUAGGUUAGCUUAUCAUAAGGGAUUUGACAAUUAUACUGUUCCCUUAUCUUGAUCCUAAUUCUCUCAAAGAAAAGCUUGGGUAAUCCUGAGAUGAAUUUUUCUUCCCAAAAAAACUGGUUACAAUCUGAUCUUAGUAUGACUUUGUUAGGAAGACUUCCUUAUACCACUUAAAAUCAUGAAGCUUGGGACACUUAAGGUUGGUUAAGAGAUCUGCAGUUUUAUCCUUAAUUUUUGCAGGAUCUCCAAUGAAGUGCUUGGAUAUUGAGUAGAUUACAAUAGCCACUGCAUCCUCAAUAUCUUGGCCAUCUUCGUCCUUAACAACCUCAUUAUUCUCAUUAAUCCUAUAGGCUUUAAGGAUACUAUUCCUAUCAUCAAAAGUGAGAUAAUUAUCCCACCAACCCUUAAGCUGACCUGUAAACCCAGCAAUAAUGGUCUGAGCUACAGCAUGAUCUGGCAGUCUAUUGUUUAAUUUAUAGGUUGUACUUACCAUGGUCAUUUCUUGAAGCUUAGUGAGUAUGUUAUACUCGGUCAUACCGUCUAUGUUCCAUUCAUAGAUAGUACCACUGGUGUAUGAGGCUUGAGUAUAAUGAUUUCUUUCCUCAAACUGCAUAUCAGGAAAUGUAGGUCUAGGAUAGUAAUUCCUAGUCUUAAAGGUUUCUAAAUUGUUAAUAUCUUUUGAAAUAAUUUGAUUAUGGGGUUCCUCAAACAUUUUAAUUAGUUCAUCAGCUUCUUCUUCUGAACUAAUAUCACCUUUAACCAUAUUGAUUCUCUUAUCAGGCUGAAUAGUCAAAGGGGCAACAAGAUUAUCCUUAAUCCUUUGAUUAAUCCUAUCAACAAAAACCUGGUUGAUUUGGGGAUUUUCCUGGAAUUCCUUAGAAAAUUCAAAGGACUUAAUUUUAUCAGUGCUCUUAUGCUUAUAAGGAUAAUCUGGAUAUUCCUCUUGUUUGAAGAGUUCAAACCAAAUCCAAAACUUAAUAUUUUUCUUUUCUUGUCUUAAGUAGGCAUAGAAUUCUUCUUGGUAAAUGGUUCUAAUGACCUUAGGGACAGUGUUAAAGAACCAAUCAUUCCUUUGCUUAUUGACUUCAGAAUAGAAGUCCUUUCUUAAGAGAUCCUUGUUGAUCUCAAAGUCCUCAUCACUUAGGCUUAUUGUGUUAAUCGUCUGGGAAUAGGUAGGAGACAUAACAGGAGACUCAUCCUGUUGGGAUUACUGCGUAGACUCAUUUUCCUCAGAGUAAAAUGGUCUAGCCACAUUGGUGUGACUUCUAACACCUGUUAGCUUAAUAUUCUUAGGAUUUCCUGAACUGGAACCUUCUUCUUCCCUAGUGGUUCUAACAGGGAUGGGAGAGCUUGAAGCUCUAGAGGGUUCAUAAACAAAAACUCUAGGGCUGCUAGAAUGUCUGAAAGAGUUGGAGAAAACCAGUUCUCCUCCUCCAUCAGGAUAUUGAACAAUUUGUUCAAUACUUUCAGAACGCUGUGCAAUGGCUGGAACAGCAUUAGCAAAAUGCCAAUUUUCAGGAAACUCAACAUCUUUCCACAAGAUCUUCUUGGGAAUGAUGAAAUCUGACUUAUCUAACAUAUCUGAAUGAAAGUAAGUGGUCUCACCUUUAGGACUGGUGCAAAGAGCCCCAGAUCCAACGCUUGUGUUCAUGCUCUUAUAGGCAAACCUGGUUAUGAUUGAAACAGGACUGUUUCCUGGUUUGAUCUUAAAGUCAUGGGUCUUAAUAUGCAGGACAACGGAAUCUAAGAUGUCUGCAUCUCUUAUUCUAACUGUGAAGUUAGGAUAGCACUGGAAAUAAACUGGGCCAUCAUUCAGUCCAGCUUGGACUGCGCCUAUAAUAGAAUCUCGAUAUUCGAGAUGCCUAUUAUCCCUUAAACACAUGACAAUAGAGGUGUUUAAACCUAAUCUUGUCAAAGGCUUAGCAGCUACUUAAAUCAUACCAAAGUGUAUGAAAUUAUAGCCAUCUUUCUUAUGCUUUUCAAUGGAUCUGUUAUCUAGAAGUCUUAUGACUUGGUUGUCUUGUUCUAAGCUGACUAACAUUUCAGAGGUCUUAAUGGUAUAAUCUGUGAAGAACUUAAAGGUUUCUUUCUUAUAAAUUUCUUGAUUAGACACCUUGGGUAACUUCCAAUCAUCUAAAUCAUUUUGGAUCUUAAGAUAAUUGAUCUCUUCACUGUUUACAACAGUAUCUUGAGAAUCAUUAGAUCUCCUAGACAUGGUUCUGAAAAUUGAACUCAUUUUAGGGUUUUUGAACUAGAGCCUAAUAGCAGAUUGACAAACCUUAUGAGACGUCACCCCAACCCUCUUAUAGCCUAACAAACGCCUAUCCACGACUAACAACGGCUCAAUUGGCAGGGCUCGCUCUCCUAGGCACACUGCUACCUAUCCUAUGAUAGGCCAAGAACACCCAAAACAAGACUCAACUUCCCUUCCUCAUGGCUCUGAUACCAUAGACACCCAGGACACGGUCAUAUGCAAUGAAAACAGGAAUUAUGCCAUGAUUCAAAACAAAUGAGAGGGUUAGAAAAUACAAAGGAUAUCCAACAAGAAAUUUAAAGAGAUGGAACCAAAAAACUUGUUAGUUCAUAAUAAGCUUAAAACCGACCAUGUAGGCGGUACAAAAAUAAAAAACAUAAAAUUAAAAACAAAGCUUAAUUAAAACCGACCAUGUAGGCGGUACAAGAACAUAAAAUAAAAUGAAAACAAAACUUAAAAAACCAUCCAGCCAUUCCUGGUCUCAGUGUUCCAGGAUUAAAUUUAACCAAGGAAAUGGAAUUUGAUGGCUCAAAACUUUGCAGAAAUUGUACUGAACCGCUUCUUCAUCAACAAGACAACAAGCCAAUUUGCAACUGCAAUAGAAAUUUCACUAUCAACAGAGCCUACAUUGAUCUACAGUAUUACCAACCAAUUAACCUUGCUUUCAAAUGAGAAGUUUUAAUCCUAACUCCUGAAAAGCUUCUUAAUUAUGGAUUGGUUUACCAAUAAGGGCUUUACAUGAUGAGAGAGAAAGAAGAGAGAAGAGAGAGCAUAAGCUUAGGAGAGAAAAUUAAGCGUGCUUACAAAUGAGGAUCGAGCCUCCUUAAAUAGGCAAAAAAGGAAUCUUGAAUAGUAACAAUGAACAGUAGACCCGUGCUUGAAUAGUGAAUAGUGAAUAGUGAAUAGUAAGAUUCACUUUUAUACCGAAAUCCCCCGAAAAACCCUCUUUCGGCUGAGAAGACUUCUGGCAGGCUGCUUUAUACUGUGUAGACACAUGCUUGCUACUUUUGGAACAGAAACUACAAAGCUUGUAAAAUAUUCUUAACGGAAGACAAAAGGCUGAUGAUUACUUAGAUCUUCUUAUUGGAGGAAGGAUUCCUUCAAAGUCAUCACCAUUGUCUGGAAGGUAGCUUGUUGAAUCAUUAGACUCUACAUCAGAAUUUUCUUGGGAGAAACUUGAGCUUCCUUCUUCAAGGAUUUUCUGGAAAUCUUGAGGGGUCUUAGCUGCUACGAGCAUGGCUUGUAACUGUUGCUUUUUAAGGAGAAACAGAGACAUAUCAUCACUGGCUGAGACUCGUGUGGGGUUCUGGAGGAAAUACUGCUUAACUGUAUCAAUAGAUGCAUCAUUUUUUAAGGCAUCCCACCAUUUUGUUUUAAAGGUCCUUCCCAGAGAUGGAAAGGUUACUGAUUCAUCUGUAAUGAUAAUAUAGUCCCACUGGACUAUCCAAGCAAGGCCAAAUUUGCUGAAGAAGAAUAGUAAAGGAGGAAAAGUUGAAAGUUCUCUGGGGAUAUCAAAAGAACUUCUGAAUAGCUCAAAGCCAUCCAGGAUGGGCUUGGGAAGAAUCUUAAUAGUCGGACCAUAAUAAUUCCACCAACUGUAAAACCAAAAUGGGAAAGAGGAAAGCUGAUUCUUAGAUGGAAAAUAGAACAUCCAUGAAUGAUGGAAGUCCCUAUUCUGGAUCAGAAAAGCAUUAAACCAUGCUCUUUGAUAAUCCCAAUAAUUAAAAAACCUUGGCUUUGAUGGUUCAGAAAAUUCCCUUGAAAGAUUAGGAUUUCCUCCCCAUUGCUUAACAGUAAGAAUCUUAUAGAUAUGGCAGGUGGAGAAUGCCAAACCCAUAUUACUGAAUUUGUCUGCAUUAUGCUUAAUUUUAACAGAACCAGUUUCUGUAAGGACUGCUUCAUAAAACUCUCUUGUUCUUAAAAUAUCACUAGAGGGAUAAUGAAAAUUUUCUUGAAAAGCUUUUGCAGCAAUUUCUCUGGGGUUUUCAGAGAAAAAUUCUCUUUCUAUAACCAAAAGAGGUUGAUUUAAAUCAUUUUGCCAAUAUCUUGAUUUUGUUGAAAGAGGUGUGGGGUUGGCAGCCACCACAAUUUGCUUGUUUGAAAAAGAGGAGCUUGAUGCUAAUUCCUUUUGAGAGGGAUUAGCCUUAGUGACUUGCUUGAAGGUCUGGGACCCUGAAAUGGCUGGAUACUGGGUGGCCUUGACUGGAUUAGCUGGAUCAGAAUGAUCAUAGUACAAGGUCAUCAUCUUGUUAGGCAUAGGUUUAGAAUAAUGAAGCCUUGCUUCUUCUUCUUCAACUUGUUGGCUCCAUAGCAUUUUAUGGGGAGAAGGAGCUUGACUGGGUUGGGUUUUCUGGCUAGGAGCUUGGGUAUUCUUUUUAGAGGCCAUGGUCUCGUGAACCCUACAAAUUCCAUGAGUUGAGUGAUUAGGAAUGGAACUUUCUCCUUUAAUAAUCUUGAUUUGAAAAUUAGGGUUUAAAAUAAUCCAAUUAGUUAAAUUAUACUUAAAAGCUAUAUACUUAAUUGUUUUCUCAGAUGUGAAAACAACUUUUAAAAUUCCUUGGUUUAAAAUAUCAGUUUGAAAUUUUGAAAUGCAUAAAGGAAUGCUUAAAAUAUCAUUUAUAAUGAGAUUAUGAAUGAAUUGGGUACCUAAUAUCUUAGGUGGAUCUAACAAGAUUAAUUUCUUGAUCACAAGGAGUGAUGUUUUCAACAAAAUUAGCAAAUUCAAAAAGAAUUUCCUUAUCAAAAAGCUUUGUUCUUAUACCUUGGUUAUCUACCCACAAGGGAUAAAUAGAGCUUAAGAAGGGUAUUCCUAGGAGGGCUUUUUCCUUAAGAUCCUUAACAAGGAUAAAGGUAUGCUUAAUACAGAUGUCAUGGUUACGGAUAUGAACAUCUGUUAAUUUAUACUUAAUAGCAAGUCUUUUGCCAUUGGCUCCAAAUAGAGACUGACUAGUCUCUUCGCAUAAAGGAAUAGGUACAAGACCUUCUUGAAGGCAAUUUUCAGCUGCUCUUGAAUCAAUCAAAGCAAUAAUAUCAAAGACAAAUUUAUCUUUGACUACUAUAGUAAGGGAGACUUCCCACCUUUGGAAGAUAACCCUACUCACAGUAUUCAAAAAAGUAUAUGUCUCAUUAUCAUUAACAUGGGAAGAUUCUGGAAUAUCCAUAAGGUUUCCUUGGUUGGCAAUUCUAUUGAUUUGAUCUUGGAGAUCAGAGAGACCUAAACUUAUGAAUUGUCUUAACUCUUUAAUCUCCUUUUUAUACUGCUUAACUUCUUCAUGAAGUUCCUUAAUGCUGACUUCCUUGGGAGACUGUUGGUCAAACCUGUUUAAGAUAUCAUUAAGGUUAUAAGGAUUAACAGUCUUCUUGGCUUCUACCUUGACAACAGAUUUCUUAAAAACUUCAUAAAGAUUUUGCUUAGUCUUUUCAUCUUCAACUUUUCUUAAAGUAUCUAGGAUAAAUUCCUGAUCUUGGCUUAUGACAUUUAUAGUUUUAGGACGACGAUUACAAUUACCUUUAAUACAUUCUGCUUGGUCACUAGAAGAUUGGCUGGAAACUUCGCCACUACUGUCUAGUUGAUUAACAUCAUCUUCAUUAUCUGAAUCAAUCCUUGAUUCAGAAUCUGUGGAGUUUAACAUUACCUUACAAAGCAUAUUUUUUAGGUCAUCUGAGACACUUAAGUUAUUAAUCUUUUGCUUGACUCUAUAAUCUUUUUUAUAAUGGCCAACUUUGCCACAUUUAAAACAGAUAAUUGGCUUGACAUCUAAAAGAGUUUCUACCUUUUUCUGGGUAUCUUUGUUGACCUUUCUUUGGACGUGCCUUGAUCGCUUAGUAUCAUUCAUCCUAUAGUUGUCAUAGGUACCUCUCUUACUGUGGUAAAACUUAUCUUUGCUAGGCUUCCUACUUGGUUUUUGCUUAGAGGGAGGCAUAGUUUCUUUUUGGCUGAAACCAAAAUGGUUACAGAAUGAUCCAAAUUCAUUCUUGUAGAUUUUUUGUUCAUUCUUCAUUUGUUGCAUAAGCUUGAAGUCAUUGCACAACUUAAUCCCUUCAGCUGUGACAAUGCUUAUAAUCUCACCAUAGGUUAGCUUAUCAUAAGGGAUUUGACCAUUAUACUGUUCCCUUAUCUUGAUCCUAAUUCUCUUAGAGAAAAGCUUGGGUAAUCCUGAGAUGAAUUUUUCUUUCCAAAAAGACUGGUUACAAUCUGAUCUUAGCAUGACUUUGGUUAGGAAGACUUCCUUAUACCACCUAAAAUCAUGAAGCUUGGGACACUUAAGGUUGGUUAAGAGAUUUGCAGUUUUAUCCUUAAUUUUUGCAGGAUCUCCAAUGAAGUGCUUGGAUAUUGAGUAGAUUACAGUAGCCACUGCAUCCUCAAUAUCUUGGCCAUCUUCAUCCUUAACAACCUCAUUAUUCUUAUUAAUCCUAUAGGCUUUAAGGAUACUAUUCCUAUCAUCAAAAGUGAGAUAAUUAUCCCACCAACCCUUAAGCUGACCUGUAAACCCAGCAACAAUGGUCUGAGCUACAGCAUGAUCUGGUAGUCUAUUGUUUAAUUUAUAAGUUGUACUUACCAUGGUCAUUUCUUGAAGCUUAGUGAGUAUGUUAUACUCGGUCAUACCGUCUAUGUUCCAUUCAUAGAUAGUACCACUGGUGUAUGAGGCUUGAGUAUAAUGAUUUCUUUCCUCAAACUGCAUAUCAGGAAAUGUAGGUCUAGGAUAGUAAUUCCUAGUCUUAAAGGUUUCUAAAUUGUUAAUAUCUUUUGAAAUAAUUUGAUUAUGGGGUUCCUCAAACAUUUUAAUUAGUUCAUCAGCUUCUUCUUCUGAACUAAUAUCACCUUUAACCAUAUUGAUUCUCUUAUCAGGCUGAACAGUCAAAGGGGCAACAAGAUUAUCCUUAAUCCUUUGAUUAAUCCUAUCAACAAAAACCUGGUUGAUUUGGGGAUUUUCCUGGAAUUCCUUAGAAAAUUCAAAGGACUUAAUUUUAUCAGUGCUCUUAUGCUUAUAAGGAUAAUCUGGAUAUUCCUCUUGUUUGAAGAGUUCAAACCAAAUCCAAAACUUAAUAUUUUUCUUUUCUUGUCUUAAGUAGGCAUAGAAUUCUUCUUGGUAAAUGGUUCUAAUGACCUUAGGGACAGUGUUAAAGAACCAAUCAUUCCUUUGCUUAUUGACUUCAGAAUAGAAGUCCUUUCUUAAGAGAUCCUUGUUGAUCUCAAAGUCCUCAUCACUUAGGCUUAUUGUGUUAAUCGUCUGGGAAUAGGUAGGAGACAUAACAGGAGACUCAUCUUAUUGGGAUUCCUGUGUAGACUCAUUUUCCUCAGAGUAAAAUGGUCUAGCCACAUUGGUGUGACUUCUAACACCUGUUAGCUUAAUAUUCUUAGGAUUUCCUGAGCUGGGACCUUCUUCUUCCCUAGUGGUUCUAACAGGGAUGGAACAGCUUGAAGCUCUAGAGGGUUCAUAAACAGAAACUCUAGGGCUGCUAGAAUGUCUGAAAGAGUUGGAGAAAACCAGUUCUCCUCCUCCAUGAGGAUAUUGAACAAUUUGUUCAAUACUUUCAGAACGCUGUGCAAUGGCUGGAACAGCAUUAGCAAAAUGCCAAUUUUUAGGAAACUCAACAUCUUUCCACAAGAUCUUCUUGGGAAUGAUGAAAUCUGACUUAUCUAGCAUAUUUGAAUGAAAGUAAGUGGUCUCACCUUUAGGACUGGUGCAAAGAGCCCCAGAUCCAACGCUUGUGUUCAUGCUCUUAUAGGCAAACCUGGUUAUGAUUGAAAAAUGACUGUUUCCUGGUUUGAUCUUAAAGUCAUGGGUCUUAAUAUGCAGGACAACGGAAUCUAAGAUGUCUGCAUCUCUUAUUCUAACUGUGAAGUUAGGAUAGCACUGGAAAUAAACUGGGCCAUCAUUCAGUCCAGCUUGGACUGCGCCUAUAAUAGAAUCUCGAUAUUCGAGAUGCCUAUUAUCCCUUAAACACAUGACAAUAGAGGUGUUUAAACCUAAUCUUGUCAAAGGCUUAGCAGCUACUUAAAUCAUACCAAAGUGUAUGAAAUUAUAGCCAUCUUUCUUAUGCUUUUCAAUGGAUCUGUUAUCUAGAAGUCUUAUGACUUGGUCGUCUUGUUCUAAGCUGACUGACAUUUCAGAGGUCUUAAUGGUAUAAUCUGUGAAGAACUUAAAGGUUCAUUUCUUAUAAAUUUCUUGAUUAGACACCUUGGGUAACUUCCAAUCAUCUAAAUCAUUUUGGAUCUUAGGAUAAUUGAUCUCUUCACUGUUUACAAAAGCAUCUUGAGAAUCACUGGAUCUCCUAGACAUGGUUCUGAAAAUUGAACUCAUUUUAGGGUUUUUGAACUAGAGCCUAAUAGCAGAUUGACAAACCUUAUGAGACAUACCCCAACCCUCUUACAGCCUAACAAACACCUAUCCACGGCUAACAACGGCUCAACCGGCAGGGCUCGCGCUCCUAGGCACACUGCUACCUAUCCUAUGAUAGGCCAAGAACACCCAAAACAAGACCCAACUUCCCUUCCCCAUGGCUCUGAUACCAUAGACACCCAGGACAAGGUCAUAUGCAAUGAAAACAGGAAUUAUGCCAUGAUUCAAAACAAAGAAGAGGGUUAGAUGAUACAAAAGAUAUCCAACAAGAAAUUUAAAGAGAAGGAACCCAAAAAUUUAAAGGGAAGUUGGGUCUUGUUUUGGGUGUUCUUGGCCUAUCCUAGGAUAGGUAGCAGUGUGCCUAGGAGCGCAAGCCCUGCCGGUUGAGCCGUUGUUAGCCAUGGAUAGGCGUUUGUUAGGCUGUAAUUUUUUUAAUAUUUAAUUAAUUAUUAAUGAUAUUAAAACCAUUAUGAAGAAAAUUAUAUAAUUUUUAUAUUUUUAGUAAUCAAUUAAAAGAAAAUUUUACAUUUAAUUAUAAAAUAAUUAUAAUUAAUUUGUUCUUUAAAAUAUUCUUUUAGUAUUUUCUUUAUAUAAUAAGUUUAAGUAUAUAUAAGUUUAGUGUACAAUAUAUAAUAAAGGCAACGUUGCCCGGAUGGCAAGUGGAGUGUACCCCAAACCUUUUGGUUUGAAGUUCAAAUCCCUCGAUACUCUCCGAUACAUGAUAUAUCGCGAUAUUUUCCUCCUUGAUUCAAAGUAAGAUCGUAUUUGUAGAUUUCUCUUUAUUUCAACCAUAUUUGUAAUUAUAUUUUUGCUGUGUGAGAAACAAAAAGAGAUAUCAACCAUGUUUUGUUUGUUUAGUUGCCCAAUUUUUGUGUAAGCUCCAAAUGAUGCCGCUUUCAAUCCUUUUCAAAUGCUCUGUUCCUGCACUUUUUUAUGUUGCCAUGUACACAACAGUAGUUCUUGAUCCCCAAUCAGUGAAAGCUCAAAAGUAAUGCCUUACAUCAGUAUCUGUCAUUAAUUAGCUCCACCACACAAAUUUUAUGGGGAAUUUGUCAUUGUUUUGUUACAUCAACAUGACAAACCAACCUCUGCAAAUACACAAGAUGUAACAUUGGGAAGCAUCUUGUUUCAUUGCUUCAAUAAAGGUUGUGAAAUUCUUGUAAGAAGAUCCACCUUCACUCAUACUCUUUCUAGCCAUUUCCUUCACCAGCUGUGCAUUUGCUUUUAUACCAUCAUCAGAAACCAAUUUUUCAAUCUCAUGCCUUGAAAUGAAUCCAUUUUCAUCUGGGUUCAACCCCAACUCUGGUUAUGGAAUUGAUCUGCCAAGUAGGGCCAGCAUAGGAAGGGGACUCCCAUGCCCACGCUGUCCAUGGUUGAGUUCCAUCCACAAUGGGAUAAGAAACAUGCUACAGAAGGGUGAGCUAACACCUUUUCUUGGGGUGCCCAUGAAACAAUCUUUCCAUGGUCCGCUACUCUCUCUAUGAAGCCAUCUGGGUAUUCAGCAGUGGAUCAUCGGGUGAAGUCUGUUCGGACAACCCAUAAAAAUGGCUGGCCUGCAAGUUCGAGACCAAUUGCUAGUCCAUUGAAUUGGUGCUGGUUGAAGAUUGUUGUACUACCAAAGGCAACAUAAAUGACUGAGCCAGAAGGUUGUUUAUCAAGCCAGUUUAUGCAGGUUCAAUCCUCAGGCCAAAAGCUUCCACCAUAAUGACCGUGAUGAUUACUUGCAAGUAACGGGCCAGUAAUAUGUUACGAAUCAAGUCACAAGCAGAUGAGUCAAGUUCUUAAACCGAGUUGCAAAGAAGCCACUUGGAAAAAUUCAUAGCUUGGAUGCAUCUCUGAGAAAGUCUGAAACAGAUCUCUUGUCCCUUUGGACACCUGGGCAACUCCAGGGCAAUCUGUUGCUGCUCAAGACUGGGAGAUCCUGCAGAGAUAUUUGAGUUACUUGCAUCAAAACCAAGAAAUUUCUCUACUUCCCCAAGUUUUUUAUUUUUUAAUUUUCAAGGGCUAUUAGGUUUAUUCUCGUACUUGUUUUCAAUUACUUGACACCUUAUUGUUUCCCUGAUUAGGUAUAUAUCAAAAAGAAAUGAAUUAUAGAAACAUGAUACAGACAAGUUGAAGAAUUAAUACCAUCAGUACUAUGCACUAUUCUGGCCUCAAUUAGCUUUGGAAUGUGGAGUGCCAAAGCCAAGCUUCGUGGUCCAAAAGGACACAAUGCGGCCCCCUUGAUUCCCAUCUUCUCUGCAACCUCCACUGCCCACCGCCCAACUGUUGUGUCAGCAAUAACACAAGUGAUCCUCUCAUCAUCGUUCAAGCUGUUAAGCCUCUCGUUCAAGUCCUUCAAAUGACCCGGCAUGACUGUCAAUAUACUUUCUGUCAACUUGAGCCGAUCCUUCCUAUCCUCCCCUGGAUCCAGUCCAUCUGGGAUUGAGGCUAGCCCUAUCCGAC
This 87667-nucleotide long non-coding RNA is filed under the name Vitis vinifera (wine grape). Its description in RNAcentral is "long non-coding RNA (VVIN_LNC005719)". The record is from RNAcentral. Lineage: Eukaryota; Viridiplantae; Streptophyta; Magnoliopsida; Vitales; Vitaceae.